UUCAAUCUCUGGCUUGCUCUUCAUUUGAGAAGCAGUUGCUUUGUUGGCCCUUUCUCGUCGGAUCGUGUGUACGUCUUAGACGUAUGGUCCAGAUUUUGUGGCUCACAAUCUCUGGUUCUUUGCUUUUGGUGAUAGCCCGUUUUGAUGGCAUGGUUUUGGUUGGAUCUCUAGUUCUCCUUGGAUUUGUUGAUUCUUACUCUCCCUCUCUUCGGUGGUCUUUAUUGUGAGCUCCCCGAUUCGAUCUGUUGCCUUUCUUGUUUGGAGUUUGGUGUCAUCGGUUUGGAUUUUUGUCUCUACACUCAAGACCUGAUCGAGGUCUGGUCAAAUCAAAGACUUUUAUCGAGGCGUCAAAUUGUAGUAGGUUUCUACAUCGCCGCUUCCGGAAGAUUUGCGAGUCUUCUUGUGAUUUGCUUUCGUCUUGCCGGAUAUGAAGUCUAGGAUUAUUUUAUUUGGGAGGUACUCUGGCUUCAUUAUAGGAGGUUUCGUUAGCUGCUAACGGAUUAUGUUCAUCCACUGUGGUUGGCUUUUGUUCAUCUAGGAGUAAGGGAGAUCUUUUGGCAGUCUUUUUCGUUUGAGAUCUUAGUUCCAGCUGCUGUGUUUCAUUUCGCUUUUUGUGGAUUGUAAUUUCAUCGUUUUCAAAUGUUUCCCUGUAACUUAGGGCUUCUGUUUUCCUCUUUUGGGCUAUGACUCUGGGGAUAUCUCGUUUUUCCGCCGGCUUAGUUUCUGGGGGUUAAAGUCCCGCCAGUCUUUGUAUUCCAAGAACGUAUUUCACCCGUGAUAUAUAAAUAAUCUUUCAGACGAAAAAAAAAAAAGAUAGAAUUAGAAGUAGGAUUGUAGCCUUGUUGGAAGUUGAUAGAUGGGUGAUGACUGAAAAAAUAUCUCUCAUAAGCUCAUCUUCCACUAUUAUUUAAGACUAUAUGACUAUAUCUAUAUACGUAUAUAAACACAUAUGUCUUCAGUUUCGGGUUUAUAGGUACCCAUUUAUGGGUAACGGAUAAUCCCCGAUCCGAACCGAUAUUCACAGGUUGACCAAUACUCUAUCCAAUAAGGUAAUUUCCGAAUACUCUAAUCCAACCCGAUUUUUUCGGUUCGAAUAUCAGUUCGGGUAUCGGAUCCGGUUUUUUUUGUCCAUGCCCAGUGAAAAUCAUGUUGACCCCAACAGUAUCUGCUUCGACGUCACCUCUCACCUUAUUCCUUCGAUUCCCCCCAUUUUCACUUUUCUUAUAUUUUCUCCAUCUCUGUCUCUUUGCUUGCUUCCUAUACACAGUUCUUCUCUGUUCCUCUAAUCGGAAGUAUGUAUAUUGAUUCUUAUUCUUCGAUCUUCUUUUUAUGAUUUGGUUCACCUCAAUUGCAUUAGAUGGAAGAGAAAUACUCGAAAUCUCGUCUUAAAUUAUAUAUGUUCUACUGAUGAUCAUCUUGUUUGAUUGCUUCCUUGAUUAAAGUAUUGAUUUUUAUCUUUGUUUCUUGUUAGGGUUUGAAUCUUUUCGUCAAUUUUCUAUCUGGGUUUUGUGCCAGUCGAAGGAAUAAGUGAAUCGUCGUCUUGGGUUUUCUCAAUUAAGAAUAAAGUUUCCUCCUUUUAGGGUUUUUGAAUUUACUUAUCGAAUUUGAUUAUAGUGUUGGGUGAUGGAUGAUUCUUGGAGCUACGGGAGAAGCGUUUUCAUGUCAAAUGAAACUCUUUUACCUUUUGAUUCUUUUGCUGAGAAUAGAAGAUUUGAACAUAGAUUCUCUAAUGAAUUGAGGAAUGAUAAUGAUGAUGUGUUGAUUUCUGACAUGGCUGGUAACUCCAAUGGAUUCAGUGCUGUUUCUAUUACCAAAGUGGUUCCUGAAGAGGAAGAGGAAGAGAACCAAUCUUCUUCUUCAAAGUUGUCUAGUCACGAAUUGAAUAGGAUAGAUUUCAAACUUAGGAGCAUUUUGGAUUUAGGAAAUGAUGAUGAUACAUCCUCUAGAGGUUUUGCUCUGCCAGCUAAAAAGUCUCGAGCUUCAAACCUUUGCUCUCAGAAUCCCUUGUGUCAAGUGUAUGGGUGUAAUAUGGAUCUGAGCUCUUCGAAAGAUUACCACAAAAGGCAUAGAGUUUGCGAGGCUCAUUCUAAAACUUCCGUGGUCGUAGUUAAUGGUCUUGAACAGAGGUUUUGUCAACAGUGCAGCAGGUUUCUUCUUUCUCCUCUCAAGUUGUCGUUUUAACUAACAUAUCAUGCUUGAUGGAUCUUGAUUGUUUGUUUCUUUUACCUUUUUCUUCUGUUCAGGUUUCAUUUCCUCUCAGAGUUUGAUGAUGGCAAAAGAAGUUGCAGAAGGCGAUUAGCUGGUCACAAUGAACGAAGAAGAAAACCUGCAUUCUAUUUCCUACCGGGUAAGCGCCAUAAGCUUCUUCGCACCUCUCAAGGUACUCAGUCUCUGUCUUUUCGCUAUCCAUUGAUGUAUUGAAUUAGCAAACUUGUGCAAGUUUGAAUCCAUUCUGUGUGUAAAUAGGUGUAGUAGGCAACAAGUUUCUGGAGAAUCCAUCGUUGGUAUUGCCAGAGUCAUUUCCUGGUAGUCUCUUAUACAGAGUAAUAGAUGACGACGACCACCGUGCAAGUAGACUCGUGAGUUUCAAAGAUGAACCUACUUGCUCUAUGUUUCCUGCUAUUGGGCAAAACAGCAGCAGAACUUAUGAAUCUAAACCAGCGAUUUAUUCAGCGGAAGUAUCCUCUAUUUGGGACUUACAUGAGACGGCGGUUUCACGCUCUACUUGUGCUCUCUCUCUUCUGUCAGCUCAGUCCCAACAACACUUGUCUCAAAUUCCAAACACAACAUUCUCAAUCACCCAACCAAACCAAAAUCCCAAUCACCCAUCACAAGUAGACUAUCAUGAAAUGGAACCGUUAUGGAUCGAUCCUGGCAAGACCAAUUCUGCUGGUUCUAGUUCAUGUAAAGGAAAAGGACCAUCCACGGUUGAUCUACUGCAACUGUCAUCACAUCUUCAAAGAAUCGAGCAACAGAGGAAUUACACUGGUGAUGUGAAGCAGGAAUAUAACGAGCUUUAUUUCCCUGGCUCUUAAAAAAAGGUUACAACAUUCUUAUUCCUUAAAACCGGUUCGAGCUUCUUGAGAUUUUCUGCACUAUAGGACAAGACAAGCCUGCGUGGUUUGAUUAGUUUAUUAAUUUGGGUGUGGUAAUUAUUAGAUUGGUGAAAUAGAUAGAGGAAUGAAGAAGAUCAAAUCAUGUUACAGGUAUUAUUGUAAUUUGUAACUGUUGUGUUGUUAUUCAUCAGUCAAUAAUGUUCUGAAGAAAAUUGCUUCAGAUAUCUAUGCCUGUUUCUUUUACACAGCGUUUCAGUCUCUUUUUUUUUCCGGACAAUUUGUAUAUAUAAUUGUAGUGAAUAUUCGCUGAAAAAGUGAAUUUUCACUUUUGUUUUGUUUUGUUCUGUACACUCACGUCAUCUGAGAUUCUCGAAUUCGAAGUUAGGAUGUUGAAAGUUGCAAGCUAAGUCCUUGGAAAAAUAUUAUGUCCUAGAUGGAAGAGGAAUAAGCAGAUAAAUUUUUGAUAGGAUUAAGACAAAUAAAGACCAGACAUAAACGUCCAAAGGGACAUAGCAAGUGACGUUACUUUCAAAUCUAAAGACAGACAGAAAUAUAAAGUCAUAGAAACUAAGGCAACAUCAUUUUCUGCAACAUGACAUACAUAAGGAAAAUUACAUGAACAACACAAGAUGAGAAAAACGACGCAGCCACUCGCACACGUGCAUGCGUUUGUUAUUUUUGGCUUCUUUUCCCCUGAGAUUUUUUUUUUCACUUCUUCUCACCGAACCCCAAGCCCUAAUUGAACAAAACAUUUGAAUUUUAAGUCUGUAUAUAAUAUUGUAUAUAAAUGUCCUUAUCCAGACUGAGUUUGUAUAGCGUACAUGGAUCAUGUUGUGGCCUCCGGAAGUAAUGGAAGUAGGAGAGUUGGGUAUGUACUUAGCCCACUGUUUGUGACAUUUUUCAAUUACACAAACGAAAUUGUGAAAAAAAUAUUUAUUAAUGAAAAAAAUGGUUGGUAACAAAAAAAAACUUGUCGUCUUACAUUUUUGGCAGCAGCACUGAAAGCUUCACGGUGUGGUAUUUCCGGAUUAGCACUUUUGAUUCGUUGGAUCUCAUCCCUUUUUAUAUUUUUCAAAACCAAAAAAGAUGAAGAAGAGUAAUUUUAUAUAUAAUUAAUGUUUAUGCAUUAAAUUUCAUAAUUUGGAAAUGAAGAAUAUAUAUAUGUCAAAGGUUAAAACCUCAUGAAGCGGUUGUAUGCAGAUGGAAGUCUCUGCUUCUUCUCAGGAGCUACAAUACAAAAAGAUGUUCAACAAAUUAUCAUUUAUUAUGUAGAUAGUGAUUAAAUUUAUAGAAGAAAAAAGAGUCAGAAAUGGUAAUAAGCUUAAUUACGUUUAACGACAAAGGGUGGUGUGGGGGAUGGUGGCUGGUCGCUGGAGGUAGAGGAAGAGGAAGAAGAAGAGCUUCCCUUCUUAUACUCACUCCCACCAAAGCUCUGCAUCUGCUUAAUUAAGAAAAUUACGAUAGGCUUAGUAUCACAUUUUUUAUUUAUAAAGAAUUAUACUCAUAUGUAUAACUAUAAAGCAAGUGUUAUAUACCUGAAGGGUGAGGCUGACAUGGCCUUGGAGAGGAGGAGUUGUGGUCAGAAACGAGAGGUUACCGCAAUGUCCGCAUUUCACUGUCACAGUGUCAAGCAUUCUCUUCAAUGGUAUCCCAACCUAUAUAUGUAUGUAGAUUAGGUUUACAAUUAGUUCAAAAUUUUGAAGAAAAUUUCACAACAUAAACAACAAUAUAUAGAUUCGCAUGCAUGACAUAUUAUCUACAUAAAUAUAUAAGGGUCAUGCACGUAUAUAUGCUUAGCCAUCUUCUGAUUUGUGUGGGUCACUUACCGCGAGGAUGGUGUUGCAGAUGCUACACCGGACGUAGUAGAGAUGUUCGGUUUGAGGGGAAGCCCUUGAAGCUGCCAUGGUUGGUUUCUCUUCAAGGUUCAUGAUCUUUAGCGAAUGGAUUGAAAACCGCUCUUGAAAGAAAGAGAGAGAUAAAGAAUCAGAAGAACUUUGUAGAGUUAGGGUUAUGGUUAUUUUAUGAGUUAGAAGGCUUGUAUUUAUAGAACAAACAUAGUGAGACCAUGAGAUGUAUAGAGAGAGGGAAAGAUUGUCCAAGUGUUGGACGUAUAUGCAGUCCAUAAUUUCAUUUUUAUAAUUUAUUUUAACAACAAUUAAUAUAUAUCUUAUCAAAAAAAAAAACCAAUUAAUAUCUUUUUUUCUUUUUUUUUACCAAUUAAUAUCUUAAACAAAUGACUUGAGGUGUAGACACGAAUUUUGGAGUGUGACAUUAUAAUUUAUGUGUUUUCUAGGGAUAUCUUACUUACUAUUCUAUUUUGUAACCACUGCAAUAAAUGUUUUAACAGAUAAAACAAUUUGGAACAACAAGUUUAAUUUAAAAAAAAAAAAAGUUUAAUUUGACGAUUAAUCUACGUUUCCGCAUGAUUCGGUAAGAUAAAUAAAUUAUACUAAUAUAUUAUUAACUGACUUUUAAAAAAGAUACGCAGAAUUUAAUGUAAAAACAAACUUUUAACAAAUUAAUUUUAUGUCAAAUCAUAUAUAUGAAUUAAAUUAAAGGGACCGGAUCUAGGGCUUUAUGACUUUUAUCUGUGUUGCUACUAUUGCGGAUGAUAGUACAUACUCCCUCUGCAAAAUCUUGCAGACGUAUUUAAUUUUGCUUCAAAAAUAUCAAGACUCUAAAUGUCACUCCUCGUACAUUAGUUUUUGCUAUAAUAAGCUGUGCUGAAGAUUAUUCAAUCAUGUUUUUCGUAUAAAUAUGAUUAUUUUUUAGUUAACACUAUACCUUAAUUAAUCAUGUGUUAUGUGUAAAUAACUCAUAAGUACUAGUCCAAAAUUAACUCAAGAUCAGAAUGAAAACAAACAAUCCAAUACUUUCCUAUACAUCAAUAUUUUCAAAAUAAGCAGAUAUACAUGGUGUAAGAUAUAUAUUCAUGACCAUUGGUUUAAGAUCGAUGUAUAUAUAUUUUCACUUUAUAUUCACCAGCUUCAACAUCGUACAGAUAUUAAUUAUGACACAUAUAUGCGAUGCAAAAUGACAAAAAGAGAUGACCAAUUAAGAUAUUAAAAUUAUAUAUUACAUAAUACAUGGUGUGAAUAUGAUUACAUUCAUUCAAGUUUGAUGCCAGAAGUCUUGACUUGCCCACAUGUUAUAAAUUAAGAAUGGUCCUUUCCUGAUCUUUGAUCUGUUCCUUUUUUUGUUUCUCUCAUAAAAUUUUCACGCAAAAUGAUUUCACUGUAAAACUGAGAACAAAACUUGUCAUGAUUCACAACUUUUUUCUUCAUCGUGAAAAUUUUAACUCAAUUGCAUUAAUAAGUUAAAUACAAAAAUCGUUUAACUGUAGGGAAACAACAAAAAAAAAAAAAAUGGAUCUUCUUUAGACACAUCCAACUAUACAUACAUUGGAUCCAAAAGCAGAAUCUUUUGAUUUGCCACUUAUCUAUGUUAUUUUUUAGUUAUAGGAUUUACAAUUUAUAUUUUAUGUUUAAGGAUGUGUUGUACAUUGCACAACAAAUUUUCUGUUUUAGUUUUGUUUAUUACAUACAUGUAAAAGUUAAGUUCUCUAGACUGUUGGUUUCUGAGGUAUGUAUUAAUCCGAUCCAUAAAAAGAGUGAUAAUUCAGCAACAUUAUUUGACGAACAAAAGAAAAUUCAGCAACGUUAUUUUUUGGGAGAUAAACACACUUUUAUUGCUGAAUUUUAGAUAGAACAAGCAUAUUUGUUAGCAUACUAAUUAUAGGGAAGAUGAGUAAGAUGUGAGGGCGUUGAGCUAAAUCAAAAAUCAAAAAUAGAAACUUGAAAAGAUAGUGAAGAAAAGAGGAGCUAUAGAAUGGAUUCCAUCUUUUGUGCAUGCACUGCCCCACAGGGAAAUUGGAAGGAGACAAGUGAUCAAUCACACGUCUCUUUCAGUGACUAACUUUUUUGCAUUCUUCACUUUCCUUAGAUUUCCUACUUCUACACACAUAUUGGGCUUACUUACAAUUUCAUUUGAUUAAAGUUUUGCUCUCAAUGUUAGAACUAAUAUAUAAAUAGAUUAAUGAAAGUCCUCAAUUUCUUUAGUUGAUAACAAAAAAAAAACAUGAAUAACUCAUUCUAUUUGUGGAAGCCCCCUUGGCCCAUUGGUUGAUCAAGGGUUAAUUAAUGCUUCUACAUCUAGAGGUCUGGGGUUCGAGUCCCAGAUACUGCGAUUUAUUAAUAUAUUUGCAGAUUAUUAGAGGCAAGUAUGCAUGAGAUCUCCAGCGAUGUACAAUUAUAGCCGUUCGCCAGGAUUCUACGCAGAGAGUGAAGUGUCCAUUAAGAGCAGGAAGAAGGAGGUGAAAUAGGUGAUCAUGAAAAAGGAGGUGAAAGAGGUGAUGUCUGUCGUGGAUCUAAUAAAGGUCGGAAGGAAUUGUCAGUUGUAGAAUCGUCUAUGUAACAGUUCUCAUAAUUUGCAAUAAAUAAUAAAUCUAGAAGAAAAAAGAAAAAAAAACUCUUUCUAUUUAAUAUGCUUUGUAAACAUUUAUUUUUAACACUGUACGCUAGUCUAAUUCCAAAAUCUGCAAUAACAAAAUCUCUGAUCGAUUCAUAUCUAAUUUAAAAAAAUUAUUGAUACUUUAUUUUGUUAAAAUUAUUGAUACGUUAUUUUGUAAUCUAAGAAAGUUUAACCAUGCACAAUGAACAAUUAUCCUCAAGUUUUUAUUUAUGUAUCCAUUUUUAUCAAUACAAAAUCUCAUCAUAAAAAAAAAAAAAAAAAUUUAGCAAAUCUCAUCGCAUUGGCAUUAAGAUAGAAAUGUGAAUAUUUUUUUUGAAUAUUUCCAUAUUUUGACUUGAAGCAUACUAAACCAGAGAUGUAACUGAAAAUUUUAGAGUAAGAUUUGUAUAUAAUAAGGUUAAUUGUAUAUUAUAGAAGAUUAGUUGUAUAUAAUAAAUAAGGUAAUCGUGGACUAGAAAUUUUGAUAAGAUAUCUCUGUCUGCAUCUUAAAAAAGGUGACUGAAAUUAAAUUAUGUUUAUUGAAGAAAAGGUUGGGGACUAUGACUGUGAGAGAUGGGACGGUUGCCAAAAAAGGGAAGAGAGCUAAUAAGAAAUUAGGGUUUAGUCAGGUUUCCAUGCUCGUAUAACUUCAUUACUCCGACUCUUUAAAGCUUUGCCUUUACCCUCUCCUCUAGCUAUCUAUCUAUUUAAUACCACCAUUAUUCAUACAUCCACUACUUUUACGUACACUUAAAUAUAUAAUCAUUUUUAUAUUUGUCAUGUAUAUCUCAAAAUAUGCCUUUUUUCUUGUCGUGUACUAAAUUAUUUUGUGCCUAAUUAGCAUGGCUUAGUCGAGUUAAUAUUUAAUGAUAACUAAUUCAUUAGCUACCGGUUAUGAUGAGACGAGCGUUUAGAUUUUUAUUUAUUUGAAUGCACCUAUCAUGGUUUUUGUUUUGGGUAUUAUAUGAUAUGAUAGUUUCGGUGUUCCAAAUUCAGAAUGUGGAAAUGUGUAAUCUAUCACAAAGUAAUUGACCGUUAUAGUGUUUUGUGGGUACAAAAUUAAUAAUGGACAUCAGGACAUAUGUAAUUUGAGCGUGGAAGAGAGGAUCAAUGGAUCAUGAGUAUAUUUGCAAGUCGUUUAGAUUGUUCCUAACGUACUUACGGUAUUUAGUUAAAAGACAAUAUAUAUAUAUAUAUAUAUAUAUAUAUAUAUAUAUAUAAUUCACCAACAAACAAAAUAGAUUACUGUAUGAUCGUUACUAAAUUAAAUCAUUUAUUUUUUAGAGCAACACAGAAUUUUUUACUAGGCUUUAGAUCGUGAAAUCAUCAACUUCACGAUCUAAUCAUCAACUUUAGAUCAUUAACAUCCUCCAUAAUCUCCAAGUAGUCCCACCGUCUAUCAUUUUCAAGGCUUUAGAUCGUGAAAUCAUCAACUCUAUCUACGCAAGGAGGCAUCGAAGGAAAUUCAGGAAAUUAAGGAGUCUUUGGCUCUGAUUUGAACUUCACCAAGUUAAAGAGAUUAGUUGUUUGCUUCCUUGUUUUUUAUUUUCUUUUUGCCAAAGAACCAAAAGUUAGGUAAUCAACAUGUAAAUCCAAACUUUUUUUAUUUUAUAUGAUAUUAACAAUUUAGCAAAAAAAAAAAAAAAAAAUUUCUUACUAGUGACUAGUUAUGUUCAUAAUGUAUAAUAAUUCAAUACUCUCUCUCAACUCUCAAGAAUACAAAUAAAUAUAAAGUAUUAAAUCAAUAUAUAAUUUACAUAGAGGCUUGAAAACAUUUUAUAAUAUAAACAAAAAAUCUCUAAAACAUCUUAUAUUAUGAAACGGAGGAGCCGUAAUAUUUGUUAUAACCGAGUCUGCUAAAUAAACAUUAUCAUUUUCCGUUUUUAUUGGUUAUAUAAAACUGUAGCACAUCAAAAAAAUCUCAAUUUUACAGAUAAGUGGAAUGCAACAUUUGUAAACUUCCUUGAGAGAUCUUUAUUCUUUACCUAAUUAGAAAAACAAGAAAUUCUAUAAUUUGAAAAAAAGAAAAAGUCAAAAGGAAAGUUCACCAAACCCACUUGAGUUUAAUAGAAACACACAAAGCUAAGAAGCAUCACAGUUCACAUCAAACGUAAAGAGGUCUCUACUCAUUCGCAGCUUCUACUCUUCCUUUUUCGGAAACCCUAUCGCUCUCUUUCCGAUUUGACUUGUCUUUAUUAUUAUUAGUUGUUGUUCCUAAUUAAUCACUUUCUCUUAUGUGUUUUCAAUAUAGCACUAGACAACAUAGCCUUUAGUUGAUCUUUCUCGUGCCAAUUUUGAUUCUCUUAUUCUAAAUUACUUCAUCUUCCGCUUCCAUUUAACGUUUUCCUUUAUGAAUUUCUUUUUGACUAACUUUUCUUGUCGACAGUUGUCGUCUCUUUCUCCUAUAUACUAAAUUUUUCAUUCCUUCAACGUUGUUGUGUAGGUAGUUUCUUCUAUCUAUUUGAAAGAUAAGUAAGAAAGCACCAAUAUUUCCUAACCUCCAUCGGUUGCCAUAAAUUUGAUUAUGCCCAAAUGAAAUCUGAAAAAAUAAUGUCUAUAUAUAGGUAAAAUGAAAUCUAAAAUUUCAUACAAAAAAAAUGAAAUCUAAAAACAAAUUGAGUGUCACAUGUUCUUGAUGACUGCUCUUAUGUCUUAUCUGAUUCCUUGCACAAUAGUCCUUUCUUCUCAAUUUGCAUCACAAUAUAAUAUCUUCAUUACACAUUUUGUUUUCCACCCUUCAAUUUGCAACAGUAUAUACAAUUUUUGUUUUGUUUUGUUUAAUAAAUAAAAUAAAAUAACAGUGUUUUGUAUGAUUGUAAUGUAACCCACUUUCAAACUACAAAAUUAAAAGAAGCAAGCCAUCGACUCACAUCUUCAUCAAAAGCAAAAUUCACGCUUCUCACAUUCUCUUUGUAUUCAUGAUUCCAUGCAUCGAUCUCAUAAAAAGGCAACUACGAAUUGUGGAGAAGGACAUCUGUCUUCGAUCCCUUAUUAUACAUCAAAUACUUAAAAAACAAAACAUAUCAUCCAUGAAAUAAGUUGCACUACCUCUUUUUCUACUUCUUUUUUUCCUUAUUUUAGUACCAUCUAGAUUCAGAUCAGGUUCUUGGCAAAAAUAUGAUUUAAGGCUUAAAAGAAUACAAAAUCGCGAUAAAAUCCACCAACAGUUUUUCCUCUACAGUAUGAUCGAUAAUGAGUUUGGAUUUGGUGUGUUGUGCAAAGAUGUUUUAAGUAAAGUGUUUUGCCCCUGAUGACUUUUAGAACCAAAAUGAUGACAAAACUGCAGAUUUAAAAACUACGAAAAAACUUUUAAAAUGAACUGAAUUUACUAGGGUAAAACAAAUAAACUUAGUUUUAACAUCAUUUUUAUGUACAUAUGUUCUUAAUACCAUGCUACAAAUCAUAUACUAAUCGUCCAUUUUGACCCUUUUUUCUUCAUCAUUGCAUCGCAUAGCCUUGCCGCGUCUACAUUAUCUCUAACAUUAUGAACUCUAAUGAUAGUAGCACCUUUUAAUAUCCCUGCAGUAACACAAGCAACAGUUGCAGGAUCUCUUUCACUUGCCUCAGGACGACCACAAAUAUCUCCCAAAAAUCUUUUCCUUGAGGGUCCUAUAAGUAUAGGUGCAUGAGACAAACCUAUACUCUUCUUACCCAUCUCUUCCCUGAUUUUUGGUAGCUCCAUGACAAUUUCUAAAUUAUGAGCUAUUCCCUUAGAAAAUCCAAUUCCUGGAUCAAUCAUAAUCCUCCAAGCUGGAAUCCCAGAGAGUUCUGCCUCUCUUACUCUCUCAUAAAGCUCCGAAGCAACAUCUUUGCAUAUAUCAUUAUACUCCAAAUUCUCUUUGUUUUGCAUUGUACAUGGAUCUCCUCUCAUGUGCAUGAUCAUAUAAGGAACAUCAGAAUCCGCAAUAACCAUAUGCAUGUUCGGGUCUAAACUUCCUCCAGAGACAUCAUUCAAAAUGUCAGCUCCAUUUCUUAUUGCUUCUAAAGCAACCUCAGAGUUAAAAGUGUCCACUGAUAUGAGCUUUCCUUUCAUCUCAGCCAUACCUCGAACAACUUUUAAAACCGGAAUUAGUCUAUCUAUCUCUUCUUGAGUAGAAAUUCUUGAGGCCAUUGGCCGCGUUGACUGUGCACCGAUAUCAAUAAUAUCGACACCUUCAGAGAUCAUCAAGCGGACUUGAGAAACCGCUGAAUCUAUAGAUUGAAACUUACCUCCAUCACUAAAGCUAUCAGGAGUAAGAUUAAGUAUACCCAUCACAUAAGUUUUCUUAGAAAAAUCCCAUAAAUCAUCUCCUAUUGGUACAACCCUUUGUAUACCGCCUUUUGCAAGCAAUGAUUCACCACCUAACCGCUCCCACGCUUGAAAAACUCCACCUGGAUGGAUUGAGAGUGAAUGCCAAUAUGAAACUAUAUGAUCAUUAUCAAUAUCUUCUGUUCCAAGCAAAUCUACCAAAGGUGCUAAUACAAAUGGUCUUUCCCAGAUUCUCUCAUGGGGAAUGAUGAGUUUAUCAGAAGUUAUUCUAUGCUUCCCAUAGAACAAUAUGUCCAAGUCAAGUGGUCUUGGUCCAUACCUUAAACCAUUCUCUUUACGACCCAUCUCUUUCUCAAUUUUCUUGAGAAUGUUCAAGAGUUCAUGAGGUUCGUGCUUUGUGGUACCUCUUAUUGCAGCAUUGAGAAAUCUUGGUUGGUUGGUCACAUGAACAGGUUCUGUUUCGUACAAACAACUAUGUCUUAUUACACAGAUCCCAUAGUCUUUCAUCAAUCGUAAAGCUUCUCUAAAAUUAUUCAUUCUGUUUCCAACAUUGCUUCCUAAAGCAAUCACUACUUCUUCUAAAGUUGUUGUUUCCAAAGAUGCGAAAUCUGAGUCAUAUACAAAAUAUGUUUCGAAGGUGAAAUAGGAUUCAAAAAAUUUAUACUUUUCUAAAUAAUUACUUAAACAUAGAUAGUGUAUCAAUAAUCAAAACGUAAACAAUGAAAAUGAAACGGAUGAAGAAGAUACGAACCCAUUUUAGAUUAUUAUAUUCUGUUCCGGCCCAAAUAACACUAUUAUUUGCUUCGAUCUGACCUGAAAGUAUACAAAACUAUGAGUUUAGUCCUUCUUUUUUUGUGUGCAAAAACUAUGAGUUUAGUCUUAGAUUAAAAAAAAAAACAAUUAUCAGAAACACAAAAUGGGUUCUAAUAUUUUAAGAAGAACCAAAGAAGUAAACAAUACUUUUUUAUGAGAGAGAUAAGAUGGUAGCCAAUUUUCACAUACUUUUUCUCUGAACUAGUUUUGUUAUUCGAGUACCUUGUGUCUUUCACGCUCGUCAAAAAUCAGCUUCUUUCGAAUUAGAUAUGAAGGUUUAGAAAAAAAAAGACAAAAAAGAGAAGAAAACUUUGUUAAAGAGAUUUUGAAAUUGGUAGUGAAUCUCUCAUAGUUGGGGUGAUGUAAAAAAGAGGGAUGUUACCAAUUAAAUACCAGUUCAUCUCCAUAGUAAACAAUUAUGAUCAGUUCAAUCUAACAAUGAAGAUUGAUGAAUUUGCUUAUUCCUCAUUUAUUUACAUUUUACUAUCUUUAGAUAAGUGUAAUAAUCUUUUACCAAGUGCACUCUUUCUAUUUGAUAAUGUGUAAUAAUCUUUUACCAAGUGCACUCUUUCUAUUUGACAAGUGUCAUACGUUGAUAUUUUAAUUAUUAUUUUUGUCUUUUUUAUAUGAUUUAUUCUGUAUUAUGACUUGAUAAUUGAUCAUAUCAUCUAAUUAACUCUUAUUGUUCAAAAAGUUUCUAUUUAAAAUUUCCUACUUUGAUAUUUUAAUAUCUCUUCUUAUCUCUUUCAUAUGAUUUUUUUCUAUUUAAUGACUUGAUAUAAUCUAAAUAUAUUUAGUUUUCCCACAUCUAAAUGUAUUUAGUUUUCCUAUUUUUCUAUAGUUGUUUUCUUAUAUCAAUUUUGUAUUCAGAAAAUUUUCUUUUCAUUAAUUUUAUUAUCUAUUCCAUUUUUUUUACUAUUUAAAUAUAUAUUUGGAUAGAUGAUGGAAAAAUGUGUGUUACAGUCCAAUUAUUUAAUUUCCACCUUUAAAACCACAUCAUUUUUUUGUUCGUCAACCACAUCAAAUUUUUCAUUUAUAAAGUUUAUUGAAUUUUUUUGUGACUACAUCAAUAUUCUUGCAUACCAAAUUACCGAUAGUCGAUUCAACUGUUCUGUUUUUUUUUUUUGUUAUCAUAACUCGAAACAAUAUUAUUUUCAUUUAUUUAGCAAAAAAAUAGCCGUUUUACUUUUACCAUAACAUUAUUCUUCUCGUGUUAGAAUUUGUAUUAAGUUUCUCAUCACACCAGAUGUAUAUGAUUUCAAUGAAUGGUAAGUUUUCGUGGCUUUGUUGGAAGCCAAUUAACUUCACAACGAACAAAAUUUAUCCUUGCAGUAAUUUUUAUAUAGCAAACGAUUUCACGAAAAACUACACAACAAUGCAAUUCUACCUACACUUAAAAAAAAUAUGUACUAUAGAAUAUAGAUUAUUCUAAAUGCACUAUGCUUACGGUAUAUAUAUAUUUUUUUAUGUAUCACUAAAAGUGUAAAACUAUCAUAUUUUUCUUACUGAUCACAAAGAAGAAAAAUGAGCCGUAAAUAAAUUUAGUAAAGAAGAGUAUGGACAUCUUGACGUUUUCACAUUUACAACAUAGAACGCGUGCCGUUUUGUUAAAGCGCUAAACCUCUCCCUCAUCCUCUCCCAGCUAGCUCUCCUCUUGCGGUUUCAGAGCUUAAACCCCAAUCUCCCUCAAACUCAUAAACUUAUUGCUCUCCUGUGUUGAUUUCUGGGUUUAGGCUUCUUUCGACUUUAUGGGUUUCGGAGCUUAGUUUCAGUACAAUUUCGUUUCGAAAAGAGCUCUUAUUUGAUGUCCAUGGCGUCUCUCUCCUUCACCCAAUUCUUAUCAUUUCCCAGGUCCCUUUGCUUCUAUCGCUCUUGUUUUCUUCCAUGGGUUUCUAUGGAUUUGGCGUAGAACUACUUUGCUGCCCAGAAAUGUGCGAAUGCUUUUCUUAUCUUUCUACAGAAGAAUGAGUAACAAUGAUUUGAAUUGAGUGCUUUUUUUCGCUGAUUUGUAUCCACUUUCUUGUUCAAUUUAGUGGAAAGCCAUGUUAUUUCUGUUUGAAAAUUCCACAUUUUGAUGUCAUGGUUUUCUCAUAGCUGUGCUUAAUUUUGGCAGAUGCAAUGCAGAUGUUCCUUGUCUGCUCCAGUCGCUGGGUUUUGUGAAGUUUAGAGGUGAAAGAUGGAAUGGGAAACAAAGCUUUCCUAUGGCUGCUGGUAGGAGAAAGCUAUCAGAGUCAGCCCCUCUUGAAGACGAAGGCAAUGAUGGAAACGGGGCGGUUGGGGGGAAGAAACCAUCGAAAAGUGUUAGGAGAGGUGGUGCUCGAACAACGAAGAAGAAGGUGGUAGCAACUGAUGAACCAUUAGAAGAAAGUUCUCAACUUUUGGUAGAUAGUGAUGGUGUUUUAGACAAGGAAAGCACUGUUUCAGCUUUGAAACCAAAGACAAGAACUAGAAAGAAAGGUAAUGACUUUACCAUUUCUGAGAUGAUUGGUCCUCACUUGAUGAUUCACUAGUGCAUAAUUUGAAUUCUACAUAUUUACAGCUGCAGCAGCUUCUUCUGAUGUGGAGGAAGUAAAAACCGAGAAGAAAGUGAGACGAAAGAGGACUGUUAAGAAAGAUAAAGAAAUGGAGGAUGAUUUAGCUACUAGUACUCAUGACGAGGUUAGUGAUGUCGAGGAAGCCUUGGCUGUUGAAAGCACUGAUACCGAGAGUGAAGAAGAAGAGAUUGAUCUGAGUAAACAUGACAGUGAAGAUAUUAGUCACACUUAUGGAUGGCCUCCUCUUGUGUGUUGCUUUGGAUCUGCACAACAUGCUUUUGUGCCCUCGGGAAGGCCAGCUAACAGGCUAUUAGAUUAUGAACUACACAAACGGAUGAGCGAUGCAAAGUGGGCCCCGGAGAAGUAUAUCCGGGCUCCUGGAGGAUGUGCAGGAGGUGUUGCUAUUGCUCUUGCAAGCUUGGGUGGUAAGGUUGCUUUUAUGGGCAAACUCGGGGAUGAUGACUAUGGUCAAGCCAUGUUGUAUUACCUGAAUGUGUGCAAAGUCCAAACUAGAUCAGUUAAGAUUGAUGGUAAAAGGGUUACGGCAUGUUCUACUAUGAAGAUCAGCAAGAGAGGUCGCUUGAAAUCGACUUGUAUCAAGCCCUGUGCAGAGGAUUCACUUUCAAAAUCUGAAAUCAACGUUGAUGUGCUCAAAGAGGUAAAUAUUGUCUUGGAGAUUUGGAACAUUGAGUUUUUUACUCUUUUUCUUGUUCACCAAUCUCUUAACUUUGAUGCAGGCGAAAUUGUUCUACUUCAGCACGCAUUCUCUACUCGAUAAGAAGAUGAUGUCGACUACGAUACAAGCCAUCAAGAUAUCAAAGCAACUAGGCACUGUCAUUUUUUAUGACUUGAAUCUCCCUUUACCACUAUGGCAGUCCAGCGAAGAAACCAAGUCUUUCAUACAGGAAGUGUGGGAUCUUGCAGACAUAAUUGAAAUCACAAAACAGGAACUUGAAUUCUUAUGCGGAAUCGAGCCAACUGAAGAGUUCGAUACAGAAAACAAUGACAUCAGUAAGUUUGUCCAUUAUCCGCCAGAAACUGUGGAACAGCUUUGGCAUGAAAAUCUCAAGGUCUUGUUUGUGACCAAUGGCACUUCUAAGAUCCAUUACUAUACCAAAGAGCACAAUGGUGCUGUUUCUGGAAUGGAGGAUGCUCCCAUUACUCCUUUUACAAGGGAUAUGUCAGCAUCUGGAGAUGGCAUCGUUGCAGGUACACUUUUCGCUGUCUUUUUUUUGUUUCUCAUAGCAAUUGGAAAGUUAUGCUGGUGUUAACUGAACUACAUUACUCUCUAUUUCAGGUCUAAUAAGAAUGCUUACGGUUCAGCCAGAUCUUAUGAACAAUAAAGGGUACCUGGAACGAACAGCAAGAUAUGCAAUUGAGUGUGGUGUUGUUGAUCAAUGGUUGCAGGCACAAACCCGAGGAUAUCCUCCAAAGGAUGACAUGGAAGAAGAAGAUGAUGAUGAAGAAGAUGAAGUGGAAUCAGAUCCAAACGGUAUAAGAUCGAUAACAGAGAGGGAAUACCAAACCUCAAAGCCUUAUGAUGAACCAGAUGGUCCAUACGUUAUGAAACCAGUAGAGGAAAGGGAAUACAAGAAGUUAGAGCUUGUUGGCUCAAUGUUUGAAGAUGGUAGUUUAUGAUUUUCAUAAGAACUGAUAUUAUUUCUGUUAGUCAGCUUUUUUCCCUGUUCGCAUCUUACAACAUCUUAGUAGUGUGAAUUUUUGUCAUAUGUUUUAAUAUCUAGACCAUUAUAUUAAACACAACCUAGUGUACACUAGUGAGCUUAGAGAAGAUAUGUCUAACGGGAUAGAGAAAUGAUCCAAAAACAGCAAUGUGAAACCCUUAGAGACAAUGAACUUCCUUUACUAGCAACUCUACUUCUACGUCUACUUAACUAAUCCAAGUAGAGAUUUAUCUUCUUGUGAUCUGUGAAAGGCAGUGUGAUUCUCAAGUCCUUUUGUUUCCGGCUUAACGGUCUGCCUUUGCUUUCGGGAUCUCUGUUCUCCUUCACAUCUGCUAAUUUCCAGACACAGUUAUCCGAUUCUGCAUCGAUAGACUCCAAGAGAAACACUGCAGUUUUCACUACUUUCCUUGAGUUGGUUUUCUCUACAUAGCUUACUGUCAUUGGCAUCUCCUUAAAUCGAGGCAAGUCCUCUGGAACUCUCAGCAGCCUCUCAGCUCCUGGAGAUGACACCUUUACAGAAAAAAACAACACGGACACAAGAUUUAGAACAAAUUGACCCUGAGUGGUCGUUGAUUCAUGGAGAAAGACUCUUUUUACCUCAAGGGCUAGAUCCUCUGGGAUUACUUUUUCAGCCCCAGCAUCAUCUAGUCUUUUCUUAAAUUCCCGACUAAAUUCCUCAAGCUUAUCCAUGGUAGGACAUCCAUAUCUUUGUACAAGGAAAAACAAGAAGCUUUCUUUAGUUUCUGAAACAUACUGCUUUCGCAAUGGUUUGAUAUAGAAGGGUGAAGAAUCUUACUCAUUUGAGAGUUUGUCUAGUCUGACAUAUAUAUAUCCACGAGGUGAAGUUUUGAAAGCAAACAAUUCCAACUCUUCCUCAGACUGUUUCAAAACUUCUGCAGCAAUAGAGAGAACUUUUUCACCCCAUGGCACAUCUCGAAGAACAAUUCCACCACCAUCUCCUCCAUCACCAAGCUGUAAAACAGAAGAAAGAUUAGCUUAAAAGAAUCGAAGAAUCAGAGUAGCGAAGUGAUGAGAAAAUGUAGGAGAACUAUACAUAAGAUUCAACUUCCUCAUCUUCUUCUUCUUCCCAAUCUUCUAUGACCUCAACAUCAUCAGUUGUUUUAUCUGCCAAUUGGAUUGGAAGCAAAUGUGUUAUGAGACCAACAGUAUCUUAUGACCUUUAGGAAAUACCAGCUUCUAUGGACAAGAAAAGACAGUUUCUAACUUAGAACAUACAAAAAGUGUGUUACAUGAGACCAAACGUUUCUGACUUGUCAGGAAACUCUUAAGGGGCAUUUACAUAACUCAACUGCGAAAACAUUAAAAUUCUAAGGUGAAGCAACCGUUUGGCUAAAAGUGAGCAACAUUAAAUUUUAUAAGCAGGAGACAUUUUAACAAACACCUUAUAGACACGAAAAAGACCUAAACAAAUUCUAAACCCAGAAGAUAGAGAGGCAGUCAAAGAAGACAAGGUUGAUUUAUUUUAUCUUACAUUCAAAAGUGUCUUCUUCGCCGCCAUUACUACCGGCGGAUUUUGGCGGUCGAACUGAAGGAGAAGGAGAAGAAGACGAAGAAGAAAACCUAGAGAUUGAAGAAGAGAAAGGAAAAUAGCGAGGAGGAGUCGUCUUUGGAAGUAGUAAGGAAGAAGAAAAUUGCCUAACGGAGAACCAAGUCGCCGGUGAGGUUAAACGGCGAGAAGCUCGAAACAAAGCAGAGAGACUUUGGUAUCUCACCAUGCUUCUUCGAAUUACCCACAGGACACGACUUGUAAUAAUAUUUAUUCAACCUAAGGAAUUCUAUUUAUACGAGUGUUAUAAAAUCCGUUUCUUACAUUCAAUCUUCUAGCAAUUGUGCUAAGAGGAUACAAAAUUGAUUGGUUUUUAAAAAAACGUUUAGGAAAAAUAAAGAUGUACUUGUCGAGCCAACCUAUACUAUACUAAUACAAGAGUAGCAACAGAUAUGAACAUAGAAAUACUUAGAGGCGGAGAAUAGUGCGAAGAGUAUCGCAUAGAUUUUGAAUGGUUUGCUGCUCCUGCGUUGCUUGCAAUUCCUGCAGCGGCAUUUCCUCGUAACACCUGCAAUCAGCAGAAUGGGUUUUUAGGUUUCUAGUCCUGACAUUUAAACAAAACAAAAACAUUUGCUAUUAUCUCCCACGUACGCUCUGUGGUAUGCUAAAACUUGUGCAAGGUUCAUUAGAGAAGAGCUUGUAGUCAGUCUUUGGUAUACGCUUGGAGGAAGAGGCAUCUGCAGAAUAUAUUUCAUACCCCCACAGAUUAUUAUAAAAUUAUGAUUCAUUCACGUUAUAUAGAGUUCAGAGAGAGAGAGAGAGAGAGAGAGAGAGAGAGAGAGAGUUUCGACCUCGUUUUGUCCACGUCGACCCUUUUUGGAUUGGGGAUCAGAAGUGAAGAGCUCCUGAAGUGCUUCAACGGCUACAGUUCCAUUCCCAUCUUGUUGCAUGCCUCCGAUCAUGUUCUCUGACAAGAGUGCAAUUGGGGAUAUAUCUGUUGCUCUCAAGAAUGGUAUUGGUACUGUGUUUCCAGCUGCGUAGAUUGACCAUAACUGCAGGAAAGUAGACACAUUUUAACCCAAACACGCCAUUGACUAGACUGUCGCACAGACACAGCACAAAACUAACUAACCUUAUCUUGCAAAGCAAAAGCUUUCCUGCCAACAGUUUCAUUUUUCAAGGUACUACCACUUGCAUCACUGCCACCUUCAAUCUGUGUUCCAGCUAUGUUAUUUAGCUUGGUUCUAUGCUCAUGAGACGAACUGGCCUGGAUGCUCUGUGAAGUCGAAGCUUCAAUUGGAAGAUCGAUACCCGGAGGAUUCUUUUUGUCAUGUAUCCUAGAAACCAAUAUCAGGUUAAAUUAUGCUCAAGAAGCAAGUUCAUCAUCAGAUCCUGAUUGUUAUAUAUCCAUGUAACUUUCUUUUCAAUAAAUUGGAUGAUCUGAAGGAAAAUUUAAGCGCCUAUUUAUGUAAGUAGAUAUGCCCCCGAUAAAGUAAAAAAAAAAGGAUUACAAAGAUAAAAUACCAUGAGUCAGGUAAUUCUUCUCCGGAGACUUCGCGAGAAACACCUUCAACCUGAGAAGAUGAAGAUUCUUCUUUCUCUUUGACAAGUUGAGACCUGGAGUCACUCUCCUCUGCCUCAUCCUCACCAUGAACGAUCAUAGUUCCAAAGUCACCACCUGAUCACAUGAACCAGUGGAAACAUUAAGUUACAUGCUUUUGAAACCAUGAAGGGAGAAAACUCACAACAGCUUGGAUGCUAAAAAAGCUGCUGAAUAAAUCAUCAAAACAUCAUCCCCUAGAGUUUACUAUACAUCUCCAAGAAAAUGCACUCAACAAUUCUCAUGAUGGUUCGGAAAUGCAGAUUGCCAACUUGUAAAUUACUACAUAACAGGCUGAGGUUCACAGCACAUGUUUAGAGAAGCAUACUGAUUAGUCAACAACAACACACCAUUUGGUUGAAUUCCUUAUGUGGAAGUAUGCAAUAUGGACAUAGAUACGCAUGCAUAUAAUACUUGCCUUCUCCAGCCAACACAGUGUUGCCAGUUAUAUGCUGCCGAUUCAGGGUGCCAGUUAGAGGUGCUUCGGUGGAAUUUUGAGGAGGUUUAGCUGGAACAGUAAUUCCUACCUCUUCAUUUGAUUUUGGACCCAGUGUUGACUGUUACAAGAUUAGAUAUUAGGAAAGAAGAUGGGGGUAACUAAGAGAGGGGUAACCGUUUCAGAAAAACAAUACAUACAGUGUCCUCCGAAGAAGGUGCGACAACACUUUGCGCUUGCAAAGCCAUUACAGCUCUGAUUUGUCUGGACUUCUCAAUCUUUGGCGACAUUGCGGAAGCCCCAGUUUUACAUCUCUCAACAAAUUUGUGCUGAAUUUAAAACCAAAGAGUAAAUGGCAUCAGCAGAACACAGAGAACUUAAACACUAAAUUGCAUGCCAGUUAUGAAAUUGAUGGUAAUUCUGACAACUAAAGCUGAAGACAUCCUAAUAUUGACAAGACAGAGUCACAGUUAGCUGAAAAGAAAGAAAAAUGGAAGGAAAAAAGAGCGCAUUGAGAUACACAUACUAACGAUCUCUGGCGAACAGGCAAAAGACUAUCAUAGUUUACCUUAAGCAUCUCAGCUGCAGUUGGGCGAAGACGUGGUUCCUUUGUAAGGCACUUUGCAACAAAAUCAUGAAAGACCAGGGACCUGCAGAAAGUAGCAACCAACAGUCGAAUGUUGCAUAAGAUAUUGCCAAGACCUCUUUAACGAGAAUUGCAUUACUAUGAUUCAGAGCGCUUGUAGGUCAAUGCUUUUGUAUAAAAGUAUGCUGCUAACCACAUAUAUAAGUUUUCUUUGCCAAUGCUAGAAAAAUUAUUAGACCCAUGAGAAAAAUCGUUCUGAAGCUAAUAAUAGACCAUCAAUCGAUAAAGCACUGUAUAUAUUGUGGAUAUGCAAUUACUACAGCACCUGUGGACCCAUACGUCUAUGAAGCGACUACAAGGAACUAUACUUUUCACAAUAUAAGGUGCUGAUUGCGCUUGGAUGAUUUGGAAAAUUCUCUUCUGCCUUAAUGAUAAUCGUCGUGACAAUUCUAAAGAGGUUGAAGACAUACCAUUUUUCUUUAUCCUCGAGCAUUGGAGCUGGCUCGAUGGAUAUCAUGAAUAAAACCUAACAAAGACAGAUGUUUGAAAUGAGAUAUUAAAUAACGACAAUAGCAUGAUAAGAUUAGUGGCCAUCAAGUAAGCAAACAAGCAAAAGUUUCUCUCUCUUACGUAGUAUUCAACACUAACCAAUCAAGAGAAGGCCUUUUAAGAGUAUUUCAAGACCUCCAUUUUCUAGCCUAAUAACUCUCAUGUUUAUGAAAAAUUUCAUACCAGGUCUAUACAAAUUUCAUUCCAUUUCAAUUUAUAGGACAAACUUAACAACAGCAAGCUGCUUUGAGAUUGGUUUAUAACAGACCUAACCAAACCACUUACAACCAAAGUUAAUAAAUGGUUCGAGCCAACCACAUUUACAGAAACUCUUGAAACGAAGCCAAACUCGCACUGAUGUGCAACAAAUUGUUUUAGGUUUGGCUUCAAGUCAUUCCUUUCAAUUUUCCAAGCAGAGAAAAAAAACAAAACCAUUAAAAAGGGCGAGACUGUAUAGUUUGCCCAUCCUAAACUCAGCAAGGUAUCUGAUCACUUGGAAACAUAAUUAAAAAGCAAGAUGGCUUAAUAUAAAUAUACCAACCCUCAUCGGAUGAACUGCUGAUCUUGGAGGAAGCCCCUGUAAACAACACAACCAAAAGUCAGAAGAAAACCACAGAAUUAUUAAGAAUAAAAUAAGGAAGAAGCGAGUUAAGUGACAAGGGGUCAAAAGUGUUAAUCAAAAUGUACAAUUUUCUUCUUUUUUCCACAACAUGUCAGGCGAGACUCAGUACAGCUAACAGGACAAUCAGCUCUCAAAACAGUCACUAACUUAGCUUGCUUGCACAAUUGUCGGAUAAAAAGUACUAAACUGUCACCUAAGAGAAGUAGUCCCAUAUUACCUCUGCCAUCUCGAUAGCUGAAACACCAAGAGCCCAUACAUCCACCUGUAUUAAAGAGUCAAAAUGUCAUCAAGUUGUAAACAGGAAAAUCCUUAAUUCUACUCUCUAGAAAACUUCGCAGUCUUAGUUUCUAACUGGCUUAUGUACCAGAUUCUAAUUUCCUCUAAAAGUAGCAUCCUGUGAACUGGUAUGCAAACCCAUUUUUAGUAAAACCUUAAUUACUUUCUUCAAGAGAUAUAAUAUUAGAUUUAGUAGACGUGAAAAUUUAAACUCCAGCAAUUAACAUUUAGAUAUGAAAGGGACCACUAAAUCAGUCCAUAAAAUGUGAAGUUUUUUAAAUUAAUCGAAAAACUUGAAGGAGUUUAUCAGACAAUUUACUGUCAAAUAGGACACCUACCUUCCCAUCAUAACGAUUUUCCUGAAUAACCUCCGGGGCCAUCCAAUGUGGAGUCCCAAUGAACUUCAAACAAGACAAAACAUUAAAGAAUCCACCAUCAGGCGCAGAAAGUCUCUAAGGCUUUAAUAGCCCGACUGAUCAAAGAAAGCUUGAAGCAUUAACCAUAGGAACUUUAUUCAAAUAUGUAUUUACCGUGUUUCGCUUCGACAUAGUCCGCGUAAGUUGAGCUGCAACCCCAAAAUCACCUGAAAAGAUAAGGUAGCGAACUUUGGAAUCAGCAUGCAGCUGUAAAGCAAUAAAUAAAAAUUCUAAUUAAAAACCGAUAAGGCUAAGGAAGAUUCUAAGCUUUAAAACAUAAAAGCCUGCAUGUGUAAUAAAAAUAACAUAAGUAAAGGCAACUCUUCAAACAGGUGGUUAUAUAAUUCCCCAAGCUAACUUACCCAACUUGACCUCUCCUUGUUCAGUUAACAAGAUAUUACCACCUUUAAUGUCUCUAUGGACUUUAUAUAUUGAGUGCAAGUAUGCAAGGCCCUACAAAAUAGAUACAAACAGAAGUAUAAGGCCUAAAACAUGUUGAAGCAAAUGAGCGCAAGCAAAGACGGAACCAUCAAAUACAGGAGAGCAGACAUCAUUUUUCUUCUUCAUGCUUCUAGCCAUUCUAUAAAGUGAAAAAGGUACAGACAAUUGUGUGCAUACCUUCAACGCCUCCCGGCAUAUAUAUGCUAUCUGAUACUCCUCCAACGCCUCCUCGGUAACAUUCAUAAGAUCAGCAACACUUCCACCUCCACAAUACUCCAUCACUAUCUGUCAGAAGACAUAAAUUAAUAACUAGAGAGAGCGAAUACAUAAACUAUAAUAUAUAAACGAAGAAAAAAAAACUGAUUCCAAAUAGUAAGAGCUCCUAUAUACAACAAAGAUAACCAAGCUGAGGCCCAGAUGCUCACCCAAAGAUAAUCUUCUCCUUGGUAACUCCCAAGGUAGCGGACAACAUUUGGAUGGUUACACUGCUGCAGCAUCUCAAUUUCUCCCCGGAUCUCUUCAUAUCCCUCCUCCUGAUAAAAGUAGAACUUGAAUCACAUAGAGUGCUUUAGCAACUAUGACAUUUUAACUUAUGCUGAGGACAAGCUUUUAAUACCCCUUCAGUAAGUGAUAUGACUUUAACAGCAACAAUCUCCGAUGUUUUCAAAUCUCUUGCCUUGUAUACAGAUCCAUAUGAUCCUUUCCCUGCCAAUCCAGAUGCCAGAUUUGAUAUAGUAAGCAAAAAUUGGAACAAGCACUGAGGGAUAUUGAUAGCUGAUCAUGAUCAUAGCAACAUAAUGGAGCAAAUCCGAUAGAGACAAACACCAAAUUAACUCUAUGAAGCUAGAUAUGCUAAUUUACCAAGUUCAUUGAGGAAUUCGUAUUUGGUGGUUGGAUCUUCUCUAGUAAUGCUAUCCGGAAGAGACGUAGUCGACAUCUUACUGUUCUGCUGCUGCAUUUUCCGAUUAUCUUCACCUUGAAGCUUCGAAGAAGAAGAGGAAGGAUCCAAUUUCCGAGUCUUACCACCAAAAUUUGAUUUCUGCAUACUCGCAACAGCUCUUCCCAUAGUUGACAUAUCAAUCUCCUUCUCUUUAUUCUUUCCCUUUUUAGACGAAGAUUUCACAACAAACGUACCGUACUCUCCGUCAUCAUCAUCAUCUUCUUCUUCUUCGUCUUCCUCAUCGGAAGAUUCCUCAUCUCCACCUCUCGCUCUCCUCCUAGGACUAACUCCCAUACGCGGUUUGGAAGAGUACGGACUGUUCUUACUAUGACUACUCCGAUCUGUUUUCACAAUCAUCGUGCCGAAAUCUCCGGUUUCGUCACCGUCGUCGUCGUCGUAAUCGAGCGACGCGCCGCCUCCGAAAUCUUUGGGAAGACGCUUGAGAAGAGGAGGAAGCAUAGAAUCGUCUUCAUCAUCUUCCUCUCCUUCUCCGUCACUAUCACCUUUGUAAACCAUUGUAGCGUAUAAAUCGACAUUUUCGUCUUCCUCAGGUUUGGCUUUACGUUUAUCUCGAUUUCGACCUUGAUCAGAAUCGGAGUCGGAGUGGACUACGAAAGUGGAGUAUAUGUCGGAUUUGGGCUCCGGUUUCCGGCUCCGACGAGAUCUCGGCGAGUUAUGAUCCAUCUAUGGCGGCUCUAACCGUCGUCGCCGGGAGAGAGAAAAAGAGAGUCAGGCAGACUACUUCUCGUCGUUAAAAUUAAUGAUGAACAAAAAAAUCAUUAAAAAAAAGGAAUGGGCCAACUAAAUUUUUUUGCAAGCUGGAAUAUUAAUUUAAUUCUAUGUUUGUCUAUGCACCCUCUAAACAUUAGUGUUUCUUGCAUAAUUAUUUGUUACAGUAAAUAUAUAUUGGUGUAAAAAAAUAAAUAAUGGUUAUAAAGUACGACAAAAAGUUGCAGAAGAUAGAGAAAAAAAAAGAUAACGGUAUAUUCCGUUGAAGAAAAAAAAAUGGUAUAUUCCGUUUUGACCUUACCGUUUUACCGAUUACCAAUUAAAGUGUUCAAUUGCGGAAAUGGGAUACAAGAUUGUUCUUAUUCGUUUUUCUUUAACAUUUAUUUGAGGUUUUUAUGAAUCGAAACGUGAAAAAAAUAGUAGAAAUCUAGAGAGAAUGUUAUUGUUUGAAAGACGAGAAUACAACAAUUGAAUCACAUAGAAAUUUAGAGAUUAUACAGAUUUUAUAUUCUGCUAGGGACCAAGAGGCAAGAGGUUCCACGAAAAUGAUACAAGGGUGACUUGGGAUAAAGAAGAUAGAGUGACCAAGUUUGCCUCAAAUAGCUAGUUGCUACCACCACCAAAGAGGUAAUUCAGAGACGAGCCACCUCCUGGAGCUGAGUGAACUUUGGUCGAUGGCCGGUCCUGCACAACAACCACAAGAUGUUUUCGUAACUGUACCAUAACUUUUAGACAUUUGAUUACUUUGUUAGCGCACAAAAAAACAAAACAAAGCUUCAUUGUCAGCCAACUAAUCUAAAAAAAGUAAGACGCAGAUUUUUUUGCUAUCCGAUAACCAGCACACAGAACCCGAUUCAUUGAAAGAAGGAGACAUACCGUAAUGAAGUUGCCUGUGUUCUGUCCUUCUGCACGCAUGUAAUUAUUUGUAGAGUUGCUAUUGAGACCAGCAGGAACUUGUUUGAUGCUAUCAACAGCCUUUGGAGCAGCAGUUUGAAGAGGUGGAGCAGGAGCAGAAGACUGGGUUUCGGCUGGAGCUUUGUUAACGGUUGAUGGCUUUGGAGCCUCUCCGCUCCCAAAAAGAUAUCCCAAAGAACUCUGCCCUCCACCGGCACUAACUCCACGACCCAUUCUAUCUCUCUUGCUUCUCUCAAAGAUUCUUUAGCUUUUGGGUUCAAAAAUAUGAUAAAAUCUUGAAUCAGAAUCAUAUUUUACACAAAAACAUUAUCCACUAAACGAUAUGAAACAACAAAAAAGAAUAGUGGAGUGAUCACUCAAUUAAUCAUAAUUUGUUUGUGAAAGCUUCUGUUAAAAAACAUUCACAUCUACAACGCAACAAAACCAAAAUAUGAAUUAAGACUUGAGAGUCAUUAACAACUUAUCAUCACCAAUAUAAUAACAUCAUUGAAAAGACUUGCCAGAUGAAUUUUGAACCACACUAUCUUCAUCUUACCCUAACAAAAGCAAUUGCUCAAUAACCUAGCUAGAGGCUAGAGUAUACAAACAUUCUUUCAUACAUCAAUCAAAUUCUGCAUAUCCGAACCUAUCCGUUGAUGCAAUGCUAUAUAUGAACACAACAUGUCAACAUACAGAGAAAAAAAACAACAAAUGAAAAAAACUUCUCAAACAAACACCUAAGUCGAGAAGGAAACAACACAAAACACCAAUCAAGUUUACCUGAUCAGCAAGGUGAUUUGAGAAGAAGCCAAGAAGAAGAGCCAAUGAGAGAUAACAAGAAGCCUGUGAAUUGUGAUAUAUAUAUACUAAAUAAAGGUGACGGAAAAUAGUAAGGUAAUGCUUAUCUGGCACGUCAUUAUCCAACAGAACAACAAUCACUGUAUAAGCCGGUGUCGUUUUGUAACUUUAAACCUUUUUCUAGUGUAAUCCAAAAAUUAACUUAGCUUUCUUCCUAAUCUUUUUGCAUUAGUGAUUCAAAACUUUUAUAAAGCAUUACUGUUUGAUAAAACUGUUACAAAUUAUAAAAAAACGGACCCAUUCUCAAAUGUGUUUUUGUUCAUAUCUCUCCAAAAAAAAAAAAAACAAAUCCGACAAUCUCUAACUUUAUGUUUACAGGAUCCUAUGUCCGGUUCGGUUUACAUAACCGGUAACAUUGAUCAAGAAGAUUUCUUGGGAGGUAAUUGAGAAAUCUCGACGAGUAUUCGGUUCAAAGACUGAGGACGAGAGAAGAAUGGUGCAUGAUCAGAGCCCUUGAGAUUGAAAACUUGUUCAGGAGGAUUCGAUUUGAUCAUUGCAUCUUGUAGAGAAACCGGUACAGCGUAAUCAUCCUCCAUGGUUUUGAUGUAGAACCGUCGGAUUGAACCGUAGUUUUUCUCCGACACGUGAAGCUUUUCGACCACUGGCGCGAACGGGAUCGGUCUCAUGGAUACCGACGCUAAUGCAACGUCCUGUACCAAAAAAAGACAAGUCGGGUUUAGUUAAACCGAAUUGUACCGGUUCAGCUAUUUAUUAGCCUUAUGUGUAGUGUACCUUUGGAGGGCUCUGAUUAAAGAAAAAGUCUCUAAGCAAAGAUCUGUCGAAAUCAACGGCUGUUGGAGGGUUCUUUUUUCCGUUGGCGUACAGAAAUAGAUGGACUUGUUCCAUCAGAUCAUAAUUUGAGUCAGGCUGCAAAUCAAAUGGUUGCAAUUAGAUUUUAAAAAUUUUUGGUGCUUAGUUAAUUUUAACAAGAUAUUGUGUAAAAUAAUUUGUUAUCUUAUCAUUUUGGCAAAUAAAUGCCAAAAUUAGGCUACUUAGUGCAUAAACUCUUUAAAAAAUAGAAACAAAUGUUUUGGAGAAAAAAGAAAAAGAAAAAACCUGUUGGUUAAAGAGAUCAAGAGUGCUUUGGGCAUUAGCCAACAUAGCAGCAGAGAUGAAGAUAGCCUUCGAGAUCUUAGAAGGGUACAUCUCCAUGGCAUAAGACAUACAAGCACCUCCAAAAUCAUGCCCCACUAAUAUCACCUGCUCACACCCAUCAAUUUAUAUCUUAAAUUUGUUAGUAAAUUACCAUUUUUAGUGUUAUUGAGACCAAAAAAAAAAAACAUUAUGAUAAGAUGAAAGUGAGACCUUCUCGGUGGGUUUAAGGGUGUCGAAGAAGUGGAGGAGGGGUUUGACGUAUUGAGAGAGGCUAGUGAUGUUGUUUGUAUCGAAAGAGCUGACACCAGAACCGGUCAAGUCAACGGCAUCGACUUGGAAACCAUGUUUCUCUAAGAGCGUUAUGGUUUUGUACCAACACCAUGCACCAAACCCUCCUCCAUGAACCAGGACGAACCGCUUCGUCUCCGCACCUUCCACCUUUAGCUCCUGCUUCCAUCCAUUUAUAUCAUAGUAUCAUAUAAUGAUUAAUGAGUCUCAAUAGCGAAUUUGGCUAAAACAAAUUAAAAGAUUAACACAAAUAUGUUUAUGUAAUCAUCCAUGUGUAACAAGUGAUUGUUCUCACAAAAACAUUUAACAAAAAUGUCGUUUUAUAUAUUUUUCAUUCAAUGUUUUUGGUUAUUCACUUCAAUUCCUCAAAUGAAUCUAUAGGAACUAGCCGGUUCAAUUUUUACCGGUUUGAACAGUUCGAUGAAUCUAGGGGUGUAUCAUGUAACGGAGCCAAAUAAAUGGACAAUAUAAAAGUACUUGCCUUGUCUAGGAGCUGAUUGGGUUUAAGAACAGGAUCGGUGCUUGAUCUCUGCCUAUUACUAGAACUUCUAACGUAUCCAUAAGUGGAUUUCUUAGGAGUCAAGGCGCCGGAAACAGAACCUACGGAGGCGGCUACAGCGGCAGGAGGUGGCUGAGUGUAAACGACGGAGGUGGAGCGUCGGAAAGGAGGAGCAGAGUUGCUGUUACGAGGCGUUUGACUAAAGAGGAUAUUAGUGGCGGCUAAGGUUUGUUCUUGGAUUAGAGAGUCUUUCUCGUGAUCAUGAUGAUGCUCUUGGUGGUGUCUUUCUCUGAUCUUUUUUUUUGUCUUGAUCCCUCCUUUCUUGGACGUAGACGAAGUUGAGGAUCCGGAGCAAGAGAGAGAUGGAAGUAAUGUCCGGCGUCGGAAAGAUGGUAUUAGAGACAGCCUCCGAACGUGUUUCUCCGAGCUAUUACCGUUGACGACGGAGCUAGGUUUCUUCUGGUUUGGAUCUUGUUCUUGCGAUAUGCAUCUUAAAGAGUUUCCCAUUUUUUUAAUUUUUGGUUUUUCUUGUAAUGUGUACAAGUUUGUGUGUAUGUGUUUUAUAUAUAUGUAGCAUGUUCGUGCUUGCAUGUGUAUUAUUUUGAUUUCUGAUGGGUGAAAAUGAAGAGUUGAGACUCUCACGUUGUGAAGCUGUACUUAAUGUAAAUCUGUUUGAUCGUGAUAGUUUUGACACACUUUUUUUACUUGAGACUCACGAAAACGCACAUAUGAGAAAAAUUGAUUUAAAAUUUUGAUUAUUCUAUCAUCAACUAAUGAUAAAAAAAUAAAACUAAUGAAAAUUGUUUGCCUAUACAGAUGGAGAUAGAAGAAAGAGGGAGGAACAUGGAAGGGCACUUUCUUUGAGCAUUUUGCUACUUUGACUUUCGAGUGCAGACUAUUUCUUUACAACGAUAAAACAUAUUUAUCCUCGUAUCUUUCUUGUUUAUAUAUAGAUCUUUUUCUUUUGUCAGUCCCUAGCCAUUGUGACCAACGACUACGACUAAAUGUUGUUUAUCCGAUAGCUACCAUCAAGCGAUACUUUUGGUUGCUAAUUUUUUUAGCGAUUUUCACUGAAUUUGGUGACUACAAAACAAAUAAUAUGGCGAUCACUGAAUCGGAUUUAUUCGGAUUCGGAUAAUUCGGGUAGGAGAGUUUAUUAUCCGUUCGGAUUUUGUGACUAUUCGGAUCGGGUUCGAUUCGGAUAGUGUCAGAUUCGGAUCGGUUUCGGUUCGGAUAGUGUCAGAUUCGGAUCGGUUUCGGUUCGGAUAGUGUCUUUUUCGUGAUAAAAACUAAAAAAAUGUUUAAUAUGAAUAAAAAAUAGUUUAGUCUUACUAAAAUUUGGCUAAAUUUCGUAAAAAUAAGUAUAAUUUUAACAAAUAUAACUAAAAAAUUUCCGAUAUCUAGGUUAUUUAUAAUUUUUGUUCUUUGUUAUAAAAUUAUAGCUAAAUAUAACUAAUAUUUUUGAAUAUAUAAUUUUAUUUUUGGUUUUCGGAUAUCCUUUCGGUUUUUGGUUCGGAUCGGGUUCGAUUCGGAUAAUUCGGAUAGGAGAAUUCAUUAUCCGUUCGGAUUUCGUGACUAUUCGCUUCAGAUUCGAAACCGGAUUUUUCGGAUUGGUUUCAGAUCGGUUUUCGAAUUUCGGAUUUUAUGCCCAGGCCUCAUCGAUUGUCAAAUACCUCGAACAUGAUUUGUUUUGACGAACAAUAUUCCCUAUAACCUUUCUAUGAAUACCACUCCAUGUUGCAUGAUUGGGAGUAAAGGCUGCCAAAAAUAUAAUAUAUUUUGAAAUCUUCUUAGAGCAUAUGCAAGGGGGAACACUUGGUGUGUUCUUAAGGGUUUUAAAAUAAUAAAAAUGUUAAAUAGUGGAUACAACUGUUCUUAAAAUUAUAAAAAACUGUUCUUCAGGAAGAACAGUUUGCAGGAUAAGUUAGAACUGUUCUACCACUGUUCACCUUAUUUCCUAUUUUUAAAUCCUAAGAACACACUCAAAAGUUCCCCCCUUGCAUAUGGUCUUAUGGAGUCAGGUUCGUGGGAAACCGUAGUGGUAGAUAUAUCGGAUCAACCGAAAGGAUCAUUAAAUCAUGGGCCAAGGUUAAAAUUUAUGGAUCUUCAAUUUCAUGCCUGUUUGAUUCUAAGAAUAUUAUUUUGAAUUAUGAUAUAAUUAUUUCUUUUUAUUAAUUGUAAAUUUGGCAUAUUUGUUUAUUGGAAAGUCUUGAUAAAGUGGGAAUUUGACUUUUCUUCUAUAUGAUAUAUUAUUCUCUAACGUUAAUUGUAUUAAGUGGUGAUUGAUCUAUUUCUUUGUGUAGAAAAGGAGUAACGUUAGUCGUGGAAAAUUUCUCUAUAAGAAGAAGAUGUGUUGUGUCUUCCAAAGUAUACACUUGCUACACUGUUAAAACAGAGAAACAGAAAACAAAGUUCAUUAUUCAAGUGUUGUGUGACUGUUUAGUUUGAGAGAGAUAACCUUGGGAAGAAGUUGUUGCCGCUGUGAGGAGCACGAAGCAAGGAUUUCAGCAAGAAGAAGACAUCCAUGAUUAAAGGAGAGUAAAUGUUUUACUCGUGAUAUCUUAUAUCAUGUUUUAGAUAGAUAUGUUAAAAUUUGUGUAAAAGUUUUAUUUCUAUCUUGUAUUGUCUUCUUAAAGUUAUCUAAUAAACUUGUUUGCAGUCGAGGACUAGGGGUUGGUUUGAAAGAGAACCAACUGAUACCUCGUUAAAUCUCGUGUCGUCUCGUUUAUUUCUUUAUUGUUUAUUAAGCUUCCGCACUAUUUUAAUAUCUAGUUUAUCUCAAAAAUUUACAAUGCCCAUGGAUGAGAAGAUUUACAACAUUUGGUAAAAACAACAUCUCUAAUUGUCUUUGUUUAUAAACAUAUGCGAGGUAGUGCGGAUCCAGAGCAAUUAUAUCAAUAUUGGCUUGUAAUUCAUUAUUCACUAGAAAUUUAUUAUUUCAUAGAUUAGGACCCGUGUGAUCUUCCAAAAAAAAAAGAUAAGGACCUGUGUGAUACACGAAUUAAAUGAUAAAUAGUAUUUUAGAAAAUUUAGUAAGUUGUCUUGUAAUUUUAUGUAAACAUUAUGUUAAUCAAUUAUGAAUCUUAUAUGUUUGGAUUUGAAUCAGCAAAAUAUACCUUUUAAGAUAUCUUAUAACCUUUUAUUUUAUCCAAACUUAUCUUAUUAUAUAAAGUUUUGUUUUCCAAACUUAUCUUAUUAUGUGAUUGUAUUAUAAAUAUUGCUUAACUUAUUAUAGUGGUCCAUGAUUUUGAGUUUCUUUCUGUUUUUAUUUAAAAUGAUGAUUUGACUAGUUUACUUGCCUUGUUCUUGAUGAUUGAACCUUCAUGCCCAAAGGCUCUCUUGUAGUCAUUGUCCUCUGAUCCCUUAUGUGAGUCUAGAUCUCUCCCGGUCAUAGAAUAGCUCUUUUCACCAGCAGACUUAGCAUUUUCCUUAGCUGAUGUCAUGCCCAUAACCUCUGGGAAACUAUUACUUCUCUUUCUCUGCUUCUUGAAAUAUAACACAUGUUUUGUAAGAGACAAACAAUCCAAAAUUUCAGAGGUGGAACACAAAAGCAUGUUUCGUUUACCCUUUGUUGGAUUCUUGGUCACUUGUCUUCUCUUGAACAUCCGAUUUAGAGUUUUUCACUUCGUGAUCUACCUAUAAGACAAAAUCAAAGAAAACAAAACCCUCAUUACUCUCUUCCUUAACCAAGAAAAACUAAACCCUAUAUCUUAAGUCCCGUAACAAAAAAAACGAAUUGGGUUUCCCUAAAUUGCAAUCCUCAAUUCCAAACAAAAGAAUACUAAUCAGCGAUUCCAGAGCAAAAAAAAAACAAGCUUUUUACAUGGGCAACGAUGAUUCUUUCCCAAGCAAAGAAAAACCAAACCCUAAUUACUCCCUUCCUUAACUAAGAAAAACCAAACCCUAAAUCUUGAGUUCCGUAACUAAAAAACGAAUUGGGUUUUCCUAACUUGUAAUCUUCAGUUCCAAACAAAAGAACACUAAUCAGCGAUUGCAAAGUAGAAAAAAAAGAUAAGCUUUUUUCCAGUGCAACGAUGAUUCUUUUCCAAGCAAAAACUGUCGAAAAAAACCUCCUCCGGCAUCGCGUUCGGCGGUUCUUCAGUGAGCGCCGUCCUAUGAAAAAUUUCUGACAUGAGAGAGAGAGAGAGAGAGAGAGAGAGAGAGUAAUAAUAUAUUGUAUUUUUUUCUAUAUUAGUAAUAUUAUUGGUAUAUAAAAAUGUGACACAAAUAAAGUGAGCAAAAUAUGUUAUGCAUUCAACUCAAAAAUAAAUUGUUGCAUUAUUUUUCUUAUUAUUUCUUUAUAACACCUUUAAUUGAAAGGAUGAUUUAGUCUUAAUCUGUGGAUAUCACGUUAAAAUUGAUUAUUUCUUUCUAUCCAAACCUCAGAGAUCGAUAUUUUCCAAGCUUUAUGUUUCCAGAAAAAUUCAUUAAUUCAUCGAGAAGAAUACUCCAAGUGAAAGAUAUCGAGUGCCGAAUAAUCCUACAAAUUAAAUGUGAACAAAUCGAUCGGGAGUAUCUACAUGCAAAGAAAGCGUAACGGUAAAUAUAUUUGAUCAACCGAAAGGAUCAUUAAAUCAUGGGCCAAGUUCAAAAUUUAUAGAUUUUCAACUUCAUGCCCAUGGAGGAGAAGAUUUACAACCUUUGGUAGAAACAACCUCUAUAACUGUCUGUGUUUAUAAACAUAUGUCAGGUAGUGUGGAUUUAGAGCAAUUCUUCGCUAAAAAUUGAGAUAAUUUAUUAUUCACUAGAUUAGGAUCCGUGUGAUAUUUUGCAAAUUUACUUUUCACCUCCAAAAAAUGCAAAAUAAUCUUUUGAAGUAAAAAAUAAUAUGUAACACAACCCUUAUACAUAUAUUGUAAACGUUUUCACCGUCACAUAAAUUUAAUUUUAAAAAUUCUAAAGGUGUAGUUGAACUCCUCGUCUCGAGGGCUUCGAUUUGAUAUAUUAUUUUUUUCAAAAUUUUAAAAAUUUGAUAAUAGCAAAAAUGGCUAUAUUGCAUAUUAUUUCUGAAUUCAUAGAAUUAUUUUGCAUUUUUGGAGAAAGAGAGUAAAGUUGCAAAAAUUGGUAACUCUAAGGGUUUUUUGCACAAAACCCUUUUACUAUUAACCUUUUAUUUUUUCCAACUUAUCUUAUCAUAUAAAGUUUUGUUUUCAAAAUUGCUAACUCACAUUAUCGUUAAGUUUCUUUUAUAUGCUAAUUAUGUGAUUUUAUUAUACAUAUUACUUAAACUUAUUCUACUGGUCCAUGAUAUUAAGUUUCUUCACUAUGUGUUCUUUUAAAGUUACUAAUUAAAUCAAAAUAAUUUGAAAAUUAUUUAGUGUUCUGCUUUACUUUUUACAAUUAUAGUUCUAAUUUUUUUUAUCUUUUUAAUCCCUUAUUGACUUCUAAAGUCAAUCUUCACUUCUCUUAUAAUCUUAUAAUUAUAAAUUGAAAAAUAAAUAAGCAAUGAAUUUCUUACAAGAUAACAAGAGCUACAAAACAAAAUCUCAGUAUUUUAAAUAAAAUAUCUUAUAAGAUUUAUUUAAAUAUAUUGAUUUGUAUUUACUAUUUAGAUAUCUCUAAUUAAAUAAACAGUAGAUUUAUCCAAUCUUCAAAAAAUUUAUUAUCAUUAAUGAUAUAAUCAAAAAUGAAAGAUAUUAACAUAUAGAUAUACAAAAGUUCUAGAAACUUCUUUUUAAUACAAAAUUUGGACAAGAGCUAAGUUCAUAAGUGUCACAUGGUCCGAAACACGCCGAAACCAAGUAAGACCCACACGAACCACUCGACUCGAGUGCGUUAAGAUUUUCCUUUUUUUUAUUUACUUUUUUAACCGUGUGAUGGGUUAAAAGUUCUUAAGUCGGUCAACUUAAAAAGGUAACCAAGUCAAAAAAACCAAAUUUACUAGUUGAGUUCGGAAAUAAGAAAACCAAAGCCUACCUUAAAUAGAAUUUUAGAAAUUAUUAUAUAUUCCUUCUUCCUUAUUUAUUUAGUUUCUGCAUCGCCGUAAGAAAUCAAAUCAAAUCAAGGAACCUCUCUAAAACCCUAUUAAAGGCUCUCUCUUCUUCUUCUUCUUCUCCAAAUCUAAAUUUCCCUAAAAAACCUAAUCACGCCUCUCAAGCUUCCUUCUUUAUCGCCGGACUCUCCUCGGUUCCAUCUUCCUCUGCCGCCAGGUUUAUUAUUGAUCCGAUUUCAGAUUUGGGUUUUAAAAAAAAUUUGAUCUAGGGUUUUUCCGAUUUGAUUCUGAAUUGUUCUCUGUUUUUGUUUUGUCGUUGGUUUGAUUAUCAGUACGUGUGCAGAUAUGGCUACCGAGGGAGUUGUUCCUUCAGCGAAGGCGAUUUCUGCUGCCUUUGUGGAACAGUACUAUCAUGUUUUAAGAUAUGUUCCUCAUGAAGCUCAUAAGUUAUAUGUUGAUGAUAGUGUUUUCAGCAGACCUAGUCCUGAUGGUACUAUGCUGUCUUUUACUUCCGUUGAGGUAAUUUCAGAACAUAAAGUCUUGUCCUUUUUAAUGCUCCUUCUAUUUGAUAACAUAAAGUCUUGUCCUUUAAUGCUCCUAUUGUUUUGAAAUCGAUCGAUCUCAUGCUAGUGAAACUAUCCUUUGAUUACGUCACGGUUGUAUUAGCUCUUUAGCUUUAUGUUGCUCAUACUUUUUGUUGGUUGCUUUUAGUUUUUGUUUAUCUCAGUUUAUUGCAUUGUGGAAAUUGAGUUCUAUUGAACAAUUGCUUAUGUUAGAUCACAGCUCUUUAGAUUAGUGUGUUCUUCUAGUUUAGGUGAUGGUGAUAUGAGAACAGAUUUGUAUGCGAUUGUUGUGAUACUAGUUAUAAUUGACUUGUUGAUUUCUCAUACUUAAUGCUUUGUUGACUUCUUUUCUUUUUCUUCAAUUGAGAUUCACUUUAUACUCUUGUUUAGUUUCAGACUUCACAUUAUUUAUAAUGUUGGUUCUUACAGGCUAUCAACGAGCAUAUCCUUUCAUGUGGCUUUGACAAUACGACAUUUGAGGUUCUGAGUAUCGAUUCUCAGAAUUCUUUGGAUGAUGGGAUAAUUAUCAUGGUUAUCGGUUUCAUGACUGGAAAAGACAACCUGAGGAGGAAGUUUUCUCAGAUAUUCUAUUUGGCACGUCAUAAUAACCAUGUUGUCCUCAAUGACAUGUUUCGAUAUGUUGAUCAAGAUGAUUCCACCCCACAAACUCUGCCAGUUGUUGAAUGUGGUAAGUUGUCUUAACUUUUUUCCGUUUGAUUAAGUUUGUCGAGUAAGUCCAUAUCAGUCAAUAAUUAUUACUCUUUGUGGACUAUCUACAUUGUAGAGCCAGCAACUGAGAUUGUGAAGCCAGCUGCUGAGCUAAAGAAGACCGAGCUGAAACAGAAAAACGAUGCUUCGGUGGCCAAGUCUGUUAAUGCUGCUGUUGAAAAGAAUGCUGCUGCUCCAUUGGACAAUGGAAAGAUGAAGCAGUCUGAAAAAGCUGUUAUUGCUCAAAAAUCAACAGAGCAAGUUGCUGAAACAGUUGCUCCUCAACCUGAUGGAGCCAAGAGAUCGUUUGCUGCGAUUGUAAGUCAUAUGUUUGCAAAUUUUUGUUUAACAUGGGACAUCUAUGCAUACUUACCCGUAAUGCGGUACAGGUCCAAUCGUUGGCAAACAACGCUGCUCCGUUUCAAGUGAAAGCCCCGGUUCAGCAACCUAAAUACAUGGGACAACCACGUGCUGCUGCAGCACCUAAAAAACCUGCUUACGUCAGUAAAUCUAUAAAGAAAAAUGAUCAGAAGAUCAUUGAAGAACCAGGUUAGCAGACAGAGAUUGCCAUUUACUGUCGGAUUGAAAUUAACUCUUUUCGUUUCUUGUCUAUUUUGUUUAUCGGAUGGGUGUGUUUUUGUUUCAGGUAAAUCUAUAUUUGUGGCAAAUCUGCCAUUGAAUGCAAUGCCGCCCCAACUCUAUGAACUGUUCAAGGAUUUUGGUCCUAUCAAAGAAAACGGGAUUCAAGUCCGAAGCUCCAGGGUUUGAUCUUUGAUCUCUCGUAUCUUUUUGCUAUUUCUACUCAUCACCUCUCCUAGAAUCCUUACAUGAAUUCUACAUUUUUCUUAUGUGUCCAGGGCAAUGCUAAUCCAGUUUGCUUCGGGUUUAUUGCCUUUGAAUCUGCUGCCUCUGUCCAGAGCGUGCUUCAGGUAACUAACUACAGAUACCAGUUUCUUGUUUCCCUUUUAAAAGUCUCUGAAUUUCUAAUAUUCAAACUCUGUCAAUUCCAGGCUACCAAGAACACGCCCUUCAUGCUUGCAGACCGUAAGCUUCGUGUAAAGGAGAAGGAAGGUAAGCUUCUCUUUCCUUAACCCCCGCCUCUUAAUCUAAAAUCAUCGGUUUCUAGCGUGCAAGGCUGAAUCUUCCUCUUGCAGUUGACUAUGAUGGAAGCAAACCUUCUGGGAAAACCAAAGGUGGAAGCAACAAGAUUCAGAAUGGCUCUGCAGAUGGCAGCAAGACUGAGAUUAGCUCUGCAGAUGACAGCAAGACACAAAACGGCUCUGCAGAAGAUGGCGAAGAUGAGUUCAAGCAGGUCAGAAACCGUAGGAAUAUUAGAAAAAACCGGAAUGCAAAUGGAGACAAUAACCAAAAAAAAAGUGAAGGAGGAGCCCCUAAGGUUCAAGCAGCUUGAUGAUACUCUCCUCUACAAACACCAACACAAGAACAACACUUACAAUUUGGAGCUUUCUUAGAAAAUUUAUUAUUUCAAGAGUUUGCAAAUUGAGAUUAUUUUUCGACAUUACAAAUUCAUAUAUCUUUAUUUCUUUAGGUUUUCUUUUUUGUUUUCUUCUUAUGGAACUCAACAUAAUUCUUCUUUUCACCAGUCAUUUUCUUCUGUCUUUUUGUUUUUUUUCUUCUUAUAUUCCAAUUUUUAUUAUUCGAGUAUUCACGUUAACGUAUAUCCUAUGGUUUGUUCCGUUGCGAAUCAAGUCACUUUGAAGAAAAAUAGUAAUUUAAGAUAAGCUAUAUGAAAUCUGGUCUAAUGUUGCAUCAUUUCAAUAUUUGUAAUUUCUAAAGAAGCAAAGAAUUUGUAAUAAACAAGUAAUUAGGAGUUGUAAAAAGAAGUAAUUUAGCAAUGCUUGAUAAAGAGAAAACAAAUAAUAUGCGAAUGCGACACCUCUCUCUCUCUCUUGUCUCCCACGUCAACGAUUUUGCUAGAUUUGAUUCCAAUCUCUUUUCCAGCUUACCUACCUUUUCUCUCAGAAAAUGUGUUAAAAAUGGCUUUAUCUUUUAGGAAAUUUUUUCCCUUUUGGAAGUAAUUUCCUAAUUUCUUAGCAAUAGCAAGAACCUAAAAAGGAAAUGACCAUAACAUUUUAUAAUGUAAAAGGAUUAAAAAAAAAAAGGUCAUUAUCAUCUUACAAUGAUAUAAGAAUUCUUUUUCAAAACUUAUUAAUGUAUCCAUGGUUACUUAUGAUUUUUUCUAAACCAGUUACUUUUGAUUUAUCAUUAAAUUCGAAAGUAUAAAAAACCAUUGGACUCUAAUCCAUUAUGAGAAUUUUUUUCCCUCUCCUAACAAACUUUUUUUUUUUGUCAUCCGAAAUUAAAUAGGGCUCAAAAGAACCAUUUCACUCUCCUAAGAAACUGAACUCAUAAAAAAUGUCAAAAUAUUCUCGAAAAACUCAAAAUUUCUCAUAAAUAAAAUUCGAAAUAUUUCUCCUCACAAUUAUAUUUUAUAUAUAGAAUCCUUCCCAAAAAUAAUUAUUGCAUAAUACUCAUUGGUUUUACUUUUUUAUGGGCUCAAGUUUUGUUCCAAUUUUUUUGAUAUAUGAAGGUCUAUAAAUAUAUUGGAUGCAAUGAAAGUUCAUUCUAAGAGAACAAAUUACAUUCUACUACAAUUUCUCAGAAAUUUUAGAACCUCUCUACAUAAGUUGUUUGAAUCCUUUUUAAAAGGAUAGAUUUUAAUGAGUUAAAUAAAAAAAUUAGAACCAAACUAAAGUAAUUAAAUUCUUUACUUACCAAUCCGUUGGAGACACGUGACCCCUAUGGCAAUAACUUAUAAAGCGUCCUCCGCCAUUACCCAUCACACAACACCUAUUAGCUUUGAUGUGUGGUGGACAGUGGACUUGUAGUGAUGAUGAGUGGCCUAGAUUCAUUAUUCUUUUUAGAAUCAUACAAGAGUUUCAGCCUUUUUUGUAAACAAAUAAACAAAACAUGAAUUUUGUAUAAGAGUUUUGGCUUAAAAUGUUUUGUGGUUGAAAUUUUAAAUUUAAUUUUGCAUUAAAUUUACGUGAUUCUACAAAAUUGACGAUUUAUCUGCUAAUGUAUCUCUAUCAUUGAUACUAGUAUAAAAUCCUAUUACAAGAGAAUACUUCGAAUAACUGAAUAUUUUUAUCGAAUCUCGAAUUUCGACUAUUAUAUACUCCCUCCGUUUUCGAAUAGUUGUCCUUUUAGAGAAAUUUUUUUGUUUUUAAUUAGUUGUUGUUUACAGUUUUUCAUGCAAAAUUUAUUACUUUUUUAUUUUUUAUAUUUAUUUUUAUUAUGUACCUUGAUUUACUAUUGGUUAAAUUAUGUUUAGGUAGAUAAUUAAUGAUAUUUUUAUAUUGAAAAACUAACAACAUUAAUAGUUUCUUAAUUUGUGUGCAUAUAAUUAAAACGACAACUAUUCGAAAACGGAGGGAGUAUUUAGGUUGACCAUUAGUAGAUAUCGUAAAAAUGAUCAAAACAUAAAUAUGUAAUCUAUAGUUUGUAUUAUUAUUAAUUGUUAGUAAAAUUUCAAAGACGACAAUACGCUGAAUUUUUUCAUUUGCGCAAAAUUACUGGAAAUAUUGGAGUGGCUUUUUGCCGAUAGCUAAAUGUUUGCCAUGUUUAUCGAGUCAUGGCUAUUAUUAUUUGUGUUACCAUUCUAUUCAUUUUAAUUUUAAAGACAAGAAAGAAAAAAAAAAAACUCUGGUCUUCUAGUUUCUACGAUAGACUCUUCACUCAUAAUUUAUCUGGUUCAAAAGGGUCUCUAAGUGUAUAACUGUAUAUGUACAUUACGAAAUCAAGACUAUAGUAUAAAAGCAUGAUUCACGUUCUAACAUGAAGUAGAUAGAUAGGAUUAUUAAAAAAAAAAAAAAAAAAAAAAAAAAAAAAAAAAAAAAAAAAAGAUAGGAUGAUUUUAAGAAUAAUACAAGAAAUGGAUCGGAGGAUGUUAGACACGCAAGGAUCCACACACCCACUAGGACACGUGUUUACAUGUCCGAGCGCUGACAUGCUUCACGUUCCCGCGACAGUUCGUUGUCACGGUGUAAGAGGAGGUCUCUCAGAUCUCUGAGCUGGCCAUAUAGGACCACGUACCUUACCCUUAGCCAAUGGGGAACGCUUAAUAUUAUAGAAUAAUAACUUUGUUUUUGAUAAAAUUAAUAUUGGUUCAUGCGAUGAAGAUCACGUUCAAUUAAGGUUAUAGAGGAAAUCGAUAUCUUAGAAUUUUCAAGACUUCGGAUAUAUAUAGAUUUGCAAAUUUACUUAUUUAGAUUAAGAUCAUGCCCAUAUAUAACUCAUAAAUAUUAUGCUCAAAUUUGAAAAUCAUAAAGAAAUCAAAGUGAUAAAUUAAUAAUAAGUUUAACUUUGUACUAUAUAGUUACAUUAUAUAUAUCAAGUAACUAACUAGUCGUUCGAGAGAUCUAUGUCGAAAAUAAGUUUCUCCAUCAAGUUGUUCAAGUUUUUAUAUAUUCGGGUCUACUUCUAAAACCGGUUACAGUUAUAUACUACGUUUAAAAGUAAUGUGAUAAAAAAAUCUGCCUAAACAAAUAAAACUCAACAUGGUCCUAAAUGAUUCACUCAAACCUCUAUGAUAAAACUUAAAUCCAAAUAUCCAAUACAUGCUUUAAUUAAUUUUUCUAUUACUCGAAUUCCAAUUUCCAAGCCUCGUAAUUACCAUCGAUAAGGAGAUUUCGUUUUAGAAUAAUGGUUUUAAAUAUAAAGUAGUUCAUCUAUACGAGACACCAUAUCUAACAAUGAUGUUUAAUUAAACUUUUUUAACAGAAAAGAUGAAACCAUUAAUUGACUACUUGGUCGAUGAUUAAUGAUUAAUUUUAUUUUUCUCAAAAUAGACACAUUAUUUCUAUUUUGAAACGAAUAGAACCAAUCAUGAAUAAAGCACACUAUAGAACAAGCAAGUUGUGAAAUGAAAAAUACAAAUUUCUUUAAAUACGUGUUGGAAACCAUUGUAGGACCUGAGACAAAGAACCUUAAGCCCAUUCCUCUGAACCUAAAACGAGACAGAGCAACACGUGUCUCGUCCGACACAUGUCAUCCUCUCCGUUUUUAACGCUGAUGAUGACACGUAACUCGCCAGCGAAUAUUAUAACAAAUUAAAUAAGAGAUUUUGUUUUUUUAAAUAAUAGUAUAAGCAAAGAAGCAAUAAUACUUAUAAUAGUGGCAAAAAGUGUGGGGACAAAGAAAUUAAAAUUAAAAAUAAUUAUAAGCCGUACAAAAACGUGUCGAUUCGAGGGAUCAUCUGAUUGCCACUUGGCACUUUUCACACAUUGGCUAUUCUCGUCGCUUUCUUUUCCUCUACGUGCCCAAAACCCAACAUUUAUAUAUAUUCUUACUCAACUUUAUUUUAUUAAUUUUCCUCAACAACAUAAUAAUUAAUAAAAAAAAUAAAUAAACUUUUUAAUUAAAGUAUGUAAAAUAGUAAAUUUUAUUAUAUAGGAGAGAAUCUAAAUUGAUUACAAUUUCUUUUCUUGGUGAAAUCUUUUUUGCGAGUAAAUAGAAAAAAAUAAUUACAGGGAUUUGGUUUUUAUUGUACAUGUUAAUGUUAAUGAUGAACUAAUAAGGUAUUGACAAGUAAAAUUGAACUGAAUAUUCUGUCUUGUACUCAAAUUUGAGUUCUCUUUCUCUGUCUCAUCCAUUUCACUUUUUUUUUGGUCUGUCUCCCCCAUUUUUUAGAGAAAUCAUAUUCAAUAGUAACAGAACGUGUCUCGUAAGUUUUUAUUAAUGGAUUAAAGAGAAACUUUUUCUUCUUCUGCAAAUAUUGGAUUAUGGAUCGUGGCAUCAAAAUCUGAUUACUGUUUCAUCAGCUUCUUUGUUGUUAAUGGCGGAAGCAAACGAGAGAAGUAGAGAAAUGGCGAGAAGUAAUAGUUGUGUGUUUCCAAGAGAUCUACUUCAGAGAUUUAUCUCUAAUUCUGUUGAAGGUGAAGAUGAUGAUGAAGAAGAAGAAGAUGAUGAGAUCGAGUUAAAUCUUGGCUUAUCUCUUGGUGGGAGAUUUGGAGUUGAUAAGAGUAAUAAUAAUAAGCUUGUGAGAUCUUCUUCCGUUGUUGUGACGAUGCCUCUGUUUCGGGAAGAUCAUCAUCAUCAUCAGGCGGCGGCGAUGAUAACGACGAAGGUUUCGACGGAGACGGUGGCGGGAGCGACGAGGGGGACGGGUUUGAUGAGAACGACGUCGUUGCCGGCUGAGUCGGAGGAAGAGUGGAGGAAGAGGAAAGAGAUGCAGACUUUGAGAAGAAUGGCGGCGAAGAGACGGAGAAGCGAGAAGCUUCGUACCGUCGCCGUCGCCGGUGGAGGAAACAGUAAUAAUCCGGAAGAAGCUGUCACUGCCACCACUUCGAGACGGCGAGGUAGACCAUCGUCAGGACUUCCUCGGUGGUCAGCGACGGCUAACAAAAGCGAACUUUUGCGGCAACACAGCGCUGCUCUUGAUUCACUACAAGUUUCCGUUGAAUCUCAAGGCGGAGGAGGAGGUGGAGGAGCCGCCGGAAGUUCAUCGAGCGUCUCCGAGUUGGAAACUAAAGGUAUAUUACUAAUCUAUCUAAUAUGAUCAUUAAAAUUGUUGAAACUUGAACUAUAAGCAAUUUGAUGUAACAAAUCAUUAAAGCCAAAUUUAGAUUGCUAGAUAGAUUAAUCCUUUGAUGCAAAGUUUUCGCCUUUUCGCAACCCAAAAGGUCGUUUAAUUGUGGUAAUGGACUAAUGUUACUGAAAAAAACAUGUUUUGGUGAAUACAGCGUCGAGCGAUGAAGCAAGAAGCUUACCAUCAACGACACAACAACAAGAAACAACCACAAAGCCAACAAAUCGGCUGCGAAGAUUGAGUUCAGUGGACAUGAACAUGAAGAUGGAGCCACAAGGGAAAGGAAAAAGUGAGAUGCCAUGUGUGUUUACAAAAGGAGACGGACCAAAUGGGAAGAGAGUUGAUGGGAUUCUUUAUAGAUACGGUAAUGGAGAAGAAGUUAGGAUCAUGUGUGUUUGCCAUGGCGAUUUCUUGUCUCCGGCCGAUUUCGUUAUACAUGCCGGUGGUCCUCAUGUAGAUCAUCCUCUUAGACACAUUGUUGUCAACACUUCUUCUCCUUCUAAUCUCUUAUAAUAGACCAAAACCCCUCUGAUCCAACCCACUUUUGUUUAGAGAAGAUGUUUUUAAGAGUCUCUGGUCAUUUCUCAAUUUUUAAGUUAUAUAUGUAUUUUUAUUACUUUAUACAGAGAAGAGAAUUAAGGAGACAGAAACAUCAUUUAUAUCAGUUUCAAGAGAGUAGAAUGAGAAUAACAUUUUGAUGAUUCAUGCAUAUGGUGAACAAGAGUAAUACAGAUGAAAAACCUCCCUACACUGAAAAUUUUAAAAACAGACUUGAAAAAGAUUCUAAUGGCUAGGCACUUGUUUGCUGCUGUACAAAUCAUCUACUAAACACACACUUUCUUCUAGCUUUGUAUCACAAUCUAGAAGGCUGGAUUCGUUUCAGCAGUCUUACGGCUUGUUUCAUCGUCGGCCUUAUCGAAAGGCUAUCGACUGUGCAUUUGAGAGCCAAAUGUAGAACCUCGACCAAAUCGUCUGGUGGACUAGUCUCCCAUAGUCCCUUGGUGAAGACGUCUUUGGCUUUGCCUUGACUCAACAUCAUAUGUGCCCAGGACACGAUGUUAAACCCGUUCUCAUGCGAAGAGAAAGAUGGAUCUAGCGCUCGCUUGUCCGAUAUGAGCUCCAAGAGAACUAUGCCGUAGCUGUAAACAUCUGCUUUCUCCGAGACACGGCACGUCAUUGCGUAUUCUGGAGCAACAUAGCCAAAUGUACCAGCUACACCUGUUGUGACAUGAGACUGCGAAGUUCCCAAGAGUUUCGAGAGUCCGAAAUCGGAUAGAUAAGCGUUGUAGUUGUUGUCCAAGAGUAUGUUACUCGGUUUGAUGUCUCUAUGCAAGACUUUAGGGGAACACUGUUCGUGAAGAUAGGCGAGAGCACGCGCAACAUCAAGAGCAAUCUUGUGAAGAACCUUCCACUCAAUAGCAGCUUUCGAUCUUUCUUUAAUGAAAUCUUGAAGGUUUCCCCCGGAUAAGUAGUUGUAGAUAAGAAACAUCUCUGUUUCACUCGCGUGGUAACCGAUUAACAUAACAAGAUUCGGAUGCCUAACCAUCUCAAGAGCAGAGAUCUCAGCAUGAAACUGUUGAUCCCCUUGAAACCUCCCAACAGAGAGUCUUUUAACAGCAAACACAUUCGUUGGAGACACCUCUGCUUUAUACGUCGAACCAAAACCGCCAUGACCGAUACAGUUGGAGUUACUAAAGUAACCAGUAGCUCUAACAAUGAUCUCAUACGUCAGAGGAAUACCAAUGUCCACAAACACUUUGAUCUCCUUGAUUUCAUCUACCUGAAUCUGAGAGUUUCGUUUCCAUUUCUUCGUGUAGAGGAACAAGAGCACAAGAACAAGAAGCACAAAGACAAUCACUGAAGCCGACACAAUCGAAGCAAUCUCAAUCGGAUACAAUCCAGGUUUACCAGGAGAAUCAUCAGCUGAGCUUGGACCAAUUUCAUCUUCAUCUUCAAAACUCAUAAGUUUCCUAAGAACAACAUUUCUUGAAAACCCAUCAAGAACCCUAAUUCCACCGAUAAAGCUGUUACCUUUAAGAUCAAGAAUCUCUAAUUUCUCCAACCCCCAAAUCUCCUUUGGAAUUUCACCUCUUAGAUCAUUAAAAGACAGAGACAAAACCCUAAUUUCAGACAAAUCUCCCACAACCGGAGAGAUUACACCACCAAGUCUUCUUCUACUUGAAGAACAAGAAGACAAAUCUGGGAAAUGAAGAACACCACUACCUUCAAGCUCAUCACAACCUCUGAGAAUCAAAGAGACGACUCUUAAAUCAGAGUUACAAGAGACACCGUACCAAGAACAAUGGUUUGAUGAGCUGUCGGAAACCCAGCUAGACAGAACUCCAUUUGGAUCGAAGAAACUACUCUUCAGCUUCAAAAGAACAGCUUCGUCGUGAAGACCACUCUCGGUUAAAAGUUUCCGAGAAAAUGAAAACACAAACAAAUUAAACAGCAAGAAGACCAAACCCAGAAUUUUCAUUUUUCUUCUUCUUCACAAGAGAAAGAGAAAGAGAGACGACGGCAGAUGAAACAAGGAAAAUCAAAACCCUAAAAUAAAAAUUGUCUCUUUUUCACAAAUUUUAAGUCUUUUGUGAAAAAAUUUGAUCUCUCUUUCUCGCUCUCGAAAUCGAAAUUUCAAGUUGCAAAAGAAGAAAGUUUCUUUACUCCAAAAGAAAAUG
This 44950-nucleotide long non-coding RNA is filed under the name Arabidopsis lyrata. Its description in RNAcentral is "long non-coding RNA (ALYR_LNC002835)". The record is from RNAcentral. Lineage: Eukaryota; Viridiplantae; Streptophyta; Magnoliopsida; Brassicales; Brassicaceae.